ACAGGUGCGUGCUGGGGGGCCGCGGGGUGGGGGUGCACGCCCCCCUCACCCCGGACGCUGGGGGACGGCGGCGAGCGGCGGGGACCGGCGUCCGAGAAGGGGGAUGGAGGAGGAGAAGGCGGCAGCGGAUGUCAUCUGGCCAUGGGCGGAGCAGGUGAUGGAGAAGGGGAGCGUGACCCCGGGGGUGGGAAUCCCGCGGGUGGGAAGUCGAAUUCGACAGACACCCCGGAACUGACUUCUGGGGGUGGGUCCUGGGCUGGAGGAAUUGAAUGGACUGAGAGAGGUGGGCUGGGGCCAAGGUGGGCCACAGGGUCGAGAGGGAGCUCUGCUGAGAACAGGUGAUAAAAGAGGCAGAACUUCGAAGUUGGGAAAGAGGAGGAACCACCUCUGCCGUGGGGCUGUUGCUUCACUCUGGGAUGGGGAGCAAAGGAAGAGUUGGUAAGGGGCACAGAGGCUCAGGAGGGAGGGACGGAAAAUUGCGGAGGGGGAGAGUCUUGGGAACCAUGCAGAGGAGUCAGUGGCAAAGGGGUUGGAAGAGGAGGCUCUUUGGGACCGGACUCUGGAAAGGAAGUUGUUGGUGACUGUGGGGCAUGGGCAGCGUUGGUGCUCUAUUCUUCAGAAUUUGAAGUGGACAAGUGUGGAGGUGGAGGGUCUGCAAGUUAUGCCCCCUUUUGCGGAACUUUUAAAGUUAAGCAGGACCGAGAAGCGUGCUCUGGUUUACGGAGUGACAGCGUGCAUAUUCCGAGAAGAAUGUGCCAAGGUUUGGGGAAGGGGGCGGGGGGGAAAGGCCUCCUUUGAGCAUGUAAGGUGGAAUGUUUGUAGAAAGGGUUGAAGGAAUGAUGAUUGUACACCAUGAGAGGAUAUUGGAUAGUGGGGAGGGAGCCAUAGCUGGAGCGGGAGGAAGCAAGCCAUGAGAUGAUUGUAGGCGUGAUAGGAGGUCUGGUUGCAAUCUAGAGAGAUUGUUUGAAGAUGGUUUGCUCUUUGAAGCAAAUGUGGUUUGGGACAGAACUGUAGACUUCCCUUCUUAUGAAGACGUGUGAGUGAGUGAGAAGAGCAUGGUGUUUGGAGUUAGAAGAUCUGGGUUGGAACCCCUUUUGGCCACUAACUUGCUUUAUGACAUGUUGGAUCUAUGAGUUGGACAAGAUAGUUCUCCAUUUCUUUUUCCUUACCUUUUUAUAAAAUAAGGAACCCUGGUGACACAAAGGUUAAGUGCUUGACUGCUGACCAAAAGGUUGGGGCUCCGUGGGAGAAAGACCUGGCAAUCUGCUACAACAAAACCCUCUGGGGCAGUUCUCUGUCACCUGGGGUCACUUUGAGUCGAAAUCGAUUUGACAGGAGCUAACAACAACAGACCUUCUUCACAGGCUGUAGGAUUAAAUGAAAAUCUGUACAAAAUUUAACAAACUGGAAAGUGCUAUACUUUACUAUUUAGUUAUAAUUUUUUUAGGGAAACAUCAAAGAAAUGAGUAAUGUUUUUGAAAAUGAACAACAGCUUUGGGUGGAAGGCAUUAACUGGGUGAAUAAUUUGUGUCCUUUGGGGUGGUGAUAAGUCAAGAACUCAUUGUGUCUUUACAUAGGGAAAGAGGAUUAGUGAUUGAAGGUUAUAGUUCAAAGGGGACUCCAGUGAUGCAUAUACACAUCUCAGGAAUAAGGUAACCAAGAGACUGAAAGAAUAACUGAGGGAGAAAUUAAAAUCUCGGUGAACAGCUGUGACUGUGCAUACACUUUCAUUUUUGAUUGGGGUGCAAAUGUACACACCGAAACGUUUGUGCACAGGUACUUUUUAAAGGACGUUUAAACUGAUUUGAGAGUUUUGAGUGACAGUGAGCGGCAUCUCAGCAGCAAGCGAUGCGGAACACAGGGUUACAGUUCUAGCUCUCUUACGGACAGGGCAAGAAAUGAAGGGCAGCUGAGAGGCCUGAUGGCCGCCUUGCUGCGUUUGCUGUGUCGGAUAUACUAUGGAUGGCCGAAGGUGCAGACAGCACAGUAGUCAAGAAAUGGGGGGAAAUGAGCGUGCUUUUGACUAUAUAAGUUGACCAUUCACUACCUCCAUGUGAUUUUGGUCAGCUCUGUUAGUUAAGGGGACAUUAUCAUGUGAAGUUUGACAGUUCACAAGUUUUAGUCUACUAAGGUACUUCCUCCAGUCUCACCUCCGUUUGUGAUACAGGCAAAGAAGUUCCUUGAAAUCGGAAUGCUUAUUAACCCCUCACCUUUAGCGUGUUGCGAGAUGGAGAAAGCUUUUACGUCAUCUUUAAGGAUGAGGGGAGACAACUGGGAAACGGGGCAGCUUUCUAGUUCUUCCUGAGUCCUUAGGUAAUAACUUAAAGAAGCAUACAUGUGGCAUUUGAUAAUACACUCAUUUCAUUCUCACAAGUCCCUGAGGUAGUGAUAUUUCCCUUUUUUGUAGAGGAGGAAACUGAGGCUCAGGAGGCCAAGUGAAAUGCCCGAGGUACUUUAGUACCUGUGAUGCUUUAUUUCGUUUGUUAUGAAUUUUACCAUUUUAUUUAUUCUCAUUGAAAUAUAAAUAUGGAAAAGAUAUUCCAAAAGUAAUUGGAUUAUCUAUCAUUUUGCAGUACCUUUGUCACUAUUCCUUUGGUUUGUACAAAUAUUCAAGAGUUCGGUUGAUUUUUUUUUUUUUUUUUAACAGACUUGCCCUUUAUUUUAUGGUAUGUGGCCUUUAGGAAAAAAUCAUCCUUGUGGAGACUCCUGCGGCACUGUAGAUUUGUCUGAGAAUGGAAUUGGUGAAGAAUGUAGAAGCAUAUAAAAAUAGGCUCCUUAGGAGUUUCAUGAAAUAAGACAUGGAAAUUAUGAAACAAGAUUGGUCAUAAGUUGGUAACUGUUGAAGUUCAGUGUCUACUUUUGCAUGUUUAAAUUUUCCAUAAUAACUUUUUCAUAAAGCCCCUAAAUGUGUGUUCAGAGUGUUGGGAUUUCUGGUGCUUGCUCUCUUCCUAGCAAAUUCUAUGAAAAUCCUGUUACUUCAGGACCCAGCUUAAAUUCCACCUACCUGUGAAACAUUUUCUGACCACCCCUUUUAAAAGGGAUCUCUAUUUUUAUCACUUGUAUUUCUGUCUGCAUCACUCCUGGUUUUUCAUGUAAAAUACCUAGUCUCCUGACUAGAUUGUAAACUCCUUGAGAGUAAGGGCCAUAUUAAAUUAACUUUCUUGGAGUUCCUAGCACAGAGCCUUGCACUUAGCGCUUGCUUUAGUAAAUAUUGAGUGAUCGAAUAUGAUAGUAAGUCUUGAGGGUGGUUAUUCCUUCGUUGAAAGAAUAUUAAGCUUAAGGGGAAGAUGAAUGUCUGUAAUCUCUACACUUAUAAAAAGGAACUUUUGGUGCUUUUUUUUUGUUUCCUGGGAUCCCAGUGUUGUAAAAAUAAGAAAUACUUUUCCUUAAUAAAGUUUUAAAUAAAAGCUAUUGACAGAAGAAAUUAAUUGGUAGUAACACCAAAAUCUUUAUCAUGAUUUAACUACAAGAUUCUACCUAUAUCUUUUUCACUCUUAUACAGUGAGGAAGUGAAAGAACACAUGUGAAAACACAAAAUUGAAGGUGCAAACUAGACUUGUACUAAUUUGAGAGAAACAGCUUACUCAAUGUAUAUUUAUGAGCAGUCAUUUUAGCGUAAGUUCCAUGAGAAACAGGAGCUUGUCCCUUGAUGGAGUGAAUGCAGUAUUUGUAUAUAACCGUACUUGAACCCUGCUAAAGUUUAGUGUUAGUGUAGGGGUAAAAGGAAGCCAGUCUAUCUGAACCACUUUCAAGUAAGUUUAGUUAUCCAAGUACUGUCACAGUUAUUAUGUAUUUUUUUCUGUGUGUUAGGACUUCACAAGCAUCAUUGCUAAGUAAGGAAACUGAGGCUCAAAGAGUUGAAGUAACUUGCCCAAAGGUGUAAAUGGUAAAAGGAUUAAAAGCUAAGGCUGUUACCACUGAUACCGAAUCUGUCCACUGUGCUUCUACAACUACAACUCUCUACCAGCUCUCUCUCCCUGUAGCAGCCAGCCUCAUCCCUGGAUUCUCGCUUCUGCCCUCGCUCCUCAGCAGUUCAUUCUCCACACAGCUGCUAGAGUGGCCUUCUAACAGCCUAAGUCGGAUCAUUUCAAUGGCUUUGGUCACACUUAAAAUAAAAUCCAAGUUCCCUUAGUGCAACUCUUCAUUGUUUGGCCUGGUGAGUUUCUUUGUGGGAUGACAGAUGGUAAACAAACUAGAAUAGCUUGGUACUAUUUGGUAAUGCUGGUACUAUUUUGGUACAGUUGCUGGUGCCUGGCACAUAAUAGGUGGUUGGUAAAUAUUAAGGAGCCUUGGUGGCACAACAGUUAAGUCCUCGGUUGUUAACCAAAAGUUAGGUGGUUCAAACCCACCCAGCAGCUCCAUGGGAGGAAAGACCUGGCAAUCUGCCGUAAAGAUUAUAUCCUGGGAACCCCUACGGGGCAGUUUUCCUCUGUCCCAUAAGGCCACUAUGAGUCAGAAUCGACUCCAUGGCACAACAAGUAUUAACUAAAUGAACGGAAAUGCUUUCCUCUGCUCUACCUAUCUUAACGUCUAGCCUAAGGACUGCCAUCAUUUUAUAGAGGUGAUUUAUUGUGAUAAUGGUCAUUGUUUUGUCAUGUACUUGCAAGCAGUGCUAAACCUAGAGUGAAAAAUAAACUUAUCUCCAGAACUAAUGUAGUCAGUUCUACACUCAGGUUACUGUUGUGUGUAUACCUUGUGAUCAUUGUAUCUGACAGUUUUUCACAGAGAAACUGUGUACUUGAAAAUGUGUGUCUAACAUAGAAUUUAGAUUUGUCCAUUACUUUUUUCUUUCCCUUUCCUUUAUUUUGGUUGUUGUUGAAAAUUUACAAAGUAGAACAUUCGCCAGUUCAACAAUUUCUACAUGUACAAUUCAGUGACAUUGAUUACAUUUUUCAAAUUGUGUAGCCAUCCUCACCCUCCUUUUCCAAAUUGUUACUCCUCCAUUAGCAUAAACUCACUGCCCCCUAAGCUUUCCGUCUAACUUUCUGAGUAGCUGUUGGCAAUUCGAUCCCAUAGAUAGUCUUUAAAAGAGUGCAAUGCUUUAGGCAGACAUUUUUUACCUAAUAAGCUAAACUAUUGUUGGGUUUUAGUAAGACCUCAGGGUUUUUUGUGUGUGUGUGUGUGUGUGUGUGCAUUAAGUGAAAGCUAACAAAUCAAGUCAGUCUCAUACAAAAAUUUAUAUACACCUUGCUAUACACUCCUAGUUGCUCUCCCCCUAAUGAGGCAGCACACUCCUCUCCACUCUCUAUUUUCACAUCCAUUCAGCCAGCCUCUGACCCCCUCUUCCCUCUCACCUCCCCUCCAUACAGGAACUACCCACAUAGUCUCAUGUGUCUACUUGAUCCGAGAAGCUCACUCCUCACCAGCUUUUGGUUUAUUCCAGUUGCGCUGACCUCUCCGGUAUUGUGUGUUGUCUUUCCCUUCACCUACAAUAGUUCUUGUCUGCUAUCUAAUUAGUGAAUACCUUCAGGGAAUUUUUUUUAAAUAUAAUUUUUAUUGUGCUUUAAGUGAAAGUUUACAAAUCAAGUCAUUCUUGCACACACAAACCCAUAUAUACCUUGCUACACACUCCCAAUUACUCUCCCCUUAAUGAGACAGCCCUCUCUCUCCCUCCACUCUCUCAUUUCGUGUCCAUUUCACCAGCUCUAACCCCUUCCACCCUCUCAUCGCCCCUCCAGGCAGGAGAUGCCAACAUAGUCUCAAGUGUCCACCGGAUCCAAGAAGCCCUCUACUCACCAGCAUCCUUCUCCAACCCAUUGUCCAGUCCAAUCCAUGUCUGAAGAGUUGGCUUCAGGAAUGGUUCCUGUCCUGGACCAACAGAAGGUCUGGGGGCCAUGACCACCAGGGUCCUUCUAGUUUCAGACCAUUAAGCCUGGUCUUCUGAGAAUUUGGGGUCUGCAUCCCACUGCUCUCCUGCUCCCUCAGGGGUUCUCUGUUAUGUUCCCUGUCAGGGCAGUCAUCUGCUGUAGCCGGGCACCAUCUAGUUCUUCUGGUCUCAGGAUGAUGUAGUCGCUGGUUCAUGUGGUCCUUUCUGUCUCUUGGGCUUGUCAUCGCCCUGUGUCCUUGGUGUUCUUCAUUCUCCUUUGCUCCAGGUGGGUUGAGACCAAUUGAUGGAUUUUAGAUGGCUGCUUGCUGGCGUUUAAGACCCCAGACGCGACUCUUCAAAGUGGGAUGCAGAAUGUAUUCUUAAUAGAUUUUAUUAUGCCAAUUGACUUAGAUGUCCCCUGAAACCAUGGUCCCCAGACCCCUGCCCCGGCUACGCGGGCCUUCAAAGCAUUCAGUUUAUUCAGGAAACUGCUUUUGGUUUAGUCCAGUUGUGCUGACUUCCCCUGGAUUGUGUGCUGUCUUUCCCUUCACCUAAAGUAGUUCUUAUCUACUCCUACCCUCCACCUCAUGUGACCACAAAAGAAUGUUUUCUUCUCAGUUUAAACUGUUUCUCAAGUUCUUAUGAUAGUGGUCUUAUACAAUAUUUGUCCUUUUGCAACUGACUAAUUUCACUCAGCAUAAUGCCUCCCAGGUUCCUCCAUGUUAUGAAAUGUUUCACAGAUUCCUCACUGUUCUUUAUCGAUGCAUAGUAUUCCAUUGUGUGAAUAUACCAUAAUUUAUCCAUUCAUCCGUUGAUGGGCACCUUGCUUUCUUCCAUCUUUUUGCUAUUGUGAACAGUGCAGCAGUAAACAUGGGUAUGCAUAUAUCUGUUCGUGUAAAGGCUCUUAUUUCUCUAGGAUAUAUUCCAAGGAGUGGGAUUGCUGGAUCGUGUGGUAGUUCUAUUUCUAGCUUUUUAAGGAAGCGCCAAAUUGCUUUCCAAAGUGGUUGUACCAUUUGACAUUCCCACCAGCAGUGUAGAAGUGUUCCCGUCUCUCCACAGCCUCUCCAACAUUUAUUAUUUUGUGUUUUUUGGAUUAAUGCCAGCCUUGUUGGAGUGAGAUGAAAUCUCAUUGUAGUUUUGACCUGCAUUUCUCUAAUGGCUAAUGAUCGUGAACAUUUCCUCAUAUAUCUGUUAGCUACCUGAAUGUCAUCUUUAGUGAAGUGUCUAUUCAUAUCUUUAGCCCAUUUUCUAAUUGGGUUGUCUUUUCGUAGUUGAGUUUUUGCAGUAUCAUGUAGAUUUUAGAGAUCAGGCGCUGAUCAGAAAUGUCAUAGCUAAAAACUUUUUCCCAGUCUGUAGAUAGUCUUUUAACUCGUUUGGUGAAGUCUUUGGAUGAGCAUAGGUGUUUGAUUUUUAGGAGCUCCUAGUUAUCUAGUUUUUCUUCUACAUUCAUAAUGUUUUGUAUACUGUUUAUGCCAUGAGGGCUUCUAACGUUGUCCCUAUUUUUUCUCCCGUGAUCUUUAUCGUUUUAGAUUUUGUAUUUAGGUCUUUGAUCCAUUUUGAAUUAGUUUUUGUGCAUGGAGUGAGGUAUGGGUCUUGUUUCAUUUUUUGCAGAUGGAUAUCCAGUUAUGCCAGCACCCUUUGUUGAAAAGACUGUCUUUUCCCCAUUUAACCGUUUUGGGGCCUUUGUCAAAUAUCAGCUGCUCAUAUGUGGAUGGAUUUGUGUCUGGAUUGUCAAUUCUGUUCCAUUGGUCUAUGUAUCUGUUGUUAUACCAGUUCCAGGCUGUUUUGACUACUGUGGCGGUAUAAUAGGUUCUAAAAUCAGGUAAAGUAAGGCCUCCCACUUUGUUCUUCUUUUUCAGUAAUGCCUUAUUUAUCCGGGGCCUCUAUUCCCUUCCGUAUGAAGUUGGUGAUUUGUUUCUCCAUCUCAUUGAAGAAUGUCCUUGGGAUUUGGAUUGGAAUUGCAUUAAAUGUAUAGAUCGCUUUUGGUAGAAUAGAUAUUUUUAUAACGUUAAGUCUCUCUAUCCACGAGCAAGGUAUGUUCUUCCACUUAUGUAAGUCUCUUUUGGUUUCUUGCAGAAGUGUACUGUAGUCUUCUUUGUGUAAGUCUCGGGAUAUUUUUGGUUUAAGGUUUAGAGAUAAUCCCAGGGCAAUAGUUUCAGGGGUUCAUCCAGCCUCAGUGGCUCCAGAAACUCUGUAGUAUGUGAGAAUUUGAAAUUCUGUUCUAUAUUUUUCCCCCUUUUCAUCAAGAUUCUUCCAUAUACUCUUUGAUCAAAACAUUCAGUAAUUGUAGCUCUUGCCCCUUGUUUAAUUUUAUUUAUUUUGUGGUGGUUGAGAAUAUACACAGCAAAACAUACACCAAUGCAACAGUUUCUGCAUGUACAGUUCAUUGACAUUGAUUACAUUCUUCAAGUGGUGCUGCCAUUCUCACUCUCCUUUUCUGAGUUGUUCCUCCCGCAUUGACAUAAACUCAUUCCGCCCUAAGGUUCCUGUCUAAUCUUUCAAGUUGCAGUUGUCAACUUGAUCCCGUAUAAAUAGUUCUUCAAAGAGCAUAAUGCUCAAGGCAGACCUUUUUUUAUUAGUUAAGCUAAACUAUUAUGUGCUUGCCAGUUUUAAAACAAAAUUUUUCUUACAGUUAAAGUGCCCUGAUGAUGUUUUGGUGUUAUGUGAUUUAAACUAAAAUUAGCCAAAGCUAAAAUCAUGAAUUUAUAUUUAAAUCAUUUUCCUCAAUGUUUAUUAUUAAGGUGUUGGGGAGAAAAAAAAAAGAGUUCAAGAGUUUAUAACCACAUCAGCCUGUAAUUUGUCAAGUGAUACUAUGAAUUAAAAUGCCUCAUGUUCAUGUGAAGCCCUGGUGGCACAGUGGUUAAGAACUUGGCUGCUAACCAAAAGGUUGGCAGUUCGAAUCCACUAGAUGCUGCUUGGAAACCCUAUGGGGCAGUUCUACUCUGUCCUAUAGGGUUGCUAUGAGUUGGAAUCAACUUGCCAGCGCUGGUUGUGUGGUUCUAUAUCAUUGUAUUUUAAGAGUAAUAACUUACCUCGUUUUCAUCAUUCUAAUCUAUUUCAUCAAACCAGAUAGAAAAAUCAAGAGAUGUCCUAAGAAGAGUGUCUAAGUGUUGUUUUAGUUGGCGUAUUUGGCGCCUGAACCUUUAUGUGAUUCCUGCCCGUGGUGUUAGAGCCAUAUGUAUAAUUUGAUUUUUUAAAUUCUAUAAUCUACUUUUGAUAUGUUUCUGGAGUUUAACAGCUCUUUUUUGAAGUUAAAAAUACCAUCCUGGAUAGAGUGGGAGAAAAAUGUGGAACAGAAUUCAAAUUCACAAAAAAAGGCCAGACUUACUGGUUUGAUACAGACCAGAGGAACCCCCCGAGACUGUGGCCCCCAGACACUCUGCUAACCCAGAACUGAAACUAUUCCCAAAGUCCGCUUUUCAGAAAAAGAUUAGACAGGCCUAUUAAAAAAAAAAAAUAACACUUGAGGAACGUGCUUCUUAGUUCGAUCAAAUAUACGACACCAAAUGGGCAACUCCUGUCCAAAAGCAAGAUGAGAAGGCAGAGAGGGACAGCAACUGGACGAAUGGGCACAGGGAACUUGGGGUGGAAAGAGGGACCGUGCUGUCACAUUCUGGGGAGUGCAACCAAUGUCACAAAACAAUAUGUGUAUAAAUUUUUGAAUGAGAAAUUCACUUGAGCUGUAAACUUUUACCUAAAGCACAAUUAAAAAAAAGAAAGAAAGAAAAAUACCGGUUUCAUUUAUGUGGAAAAUAUUUUUUGUUGUAUUGAGCAUAUACAUAGCAGAACAUACAUCUAUUAAACAAUUUUUACGUGUACAAUUCAGUGACAUUCCUUACACUCUUUAAAUUGUGCAACCAUUCUCACCCUCCUUUCCUAAGUUGUUCCUCCCCCAUUAACAUAAACUUAGUGCCCCUUAAGUUUCCUUUCUAAUUCGUGUUGCUGUUGUCAGUUUGCUCCCAUAUAGAUUGAUCUUAAAAGAGCAUAAUGCUCAAGGCAGACAUUCUUUACUAAACUAUUGUUUGAUUUUAAGAAGACUUGAGGGGUAUUUUUCAUUUAAGGUUUAAAGAUUAUCACAGAGCAGUAGUUUCAAGGGUUCAUCCAGCCUUCAUGACUCCAGAAAAGUCUGGAUCCCAUGAGAAUUUUAAGUUCUGUUCUGCAUUAUCCCUCUUUUGAUCAGGAGUCUUCUAUAGAAUCUUUGAUCAAAAUGUUCAGAAGUGGUAGCUGGGCACCAUCCAGCUCUUCUGGUCUCAUGGCAAAGGACACAUUGUUCAUGGAAGCAAUUAGUCACACAUUACAUAUUUUCCUUCUGUUUCUGCCUUUCCUUCUUCCUCUGUUGCUCCAGGUGAAUAGAGACCAGUUGUUGCACCUUGAGCGGCUACUUGCUAGCUUUUAAGACCCCAGACACUAUGCGGCAAACUAGGAGGUAGAACAGAACCACUACACACGUUAUUAGGUCAGUUGACUGGGAUGUCCCAUGAGACCAUGACCCUGAGUUUCCAAAUGCAGGAACCAAAUUCCAUGAGGUGUUGGAUUGUAUAUAGCAGUCUCAGCAGCUUUGGUCGUUGUAAAUAUAUCUGUCACACAACUUUUGCCAAUUCAACUUUUUACAGGUGUACAACUUACUGACAGCAAUUACAUUAUUCAGCUGUACAGCCUUGCCUUUAAUCAGUGGGAUUUUUCCAUCAGCAUGAACUAAAACUCAGUGCAAACAUAAGCAGUAACCCAGCUUUUUCUCCUCCCUUCUACCCCUGGUAACCACUAAAGAACUUUGGUCUCUAUAUGUUUGUCUGUUCUUAUCUUUUUAUAUGUGAGGUCAUAUAAUAUUUGUCCUUUUGUGAUCGACUUAUUUCACUCAGCAUGUCUUCAGGCUCCAUCCGUAUUGUUGGAUGUAUCAAGACUUCGUUUCUCUUACUGGCUCAAUAGUAUUCCAUUGUAUGUAUGUACCACAUUUUUUAAAUCCAUUCAUCCACUGAUGGGCAGUUAGGUUGUUUCCACCUUUUGGCUAUUGUGAAUAGUACUGCAGUGAACAUUAGUGUGCAGUUAUGUUUGAGUCUCUGCUUUCAAGCCUUCUGAGCAUAUACCUAGGAGUGGGAUUGCUAGGUGAUACGGUAGUUCUGUUUUUAGUUUCUUGAGGAACCGCCACACUAUUUUCCAUAACGGGUGUACCAUUUUGCAUUCCCACCAACAAAAGGGUUUUAGUUCCCCAUAUCCUUACCAACAUUUAUUAUUUUCUUUUUUAACCUUAGCCAUCCUAGUAGGAGUGAAAUGGUAUCUCAUUGUGGUGGUUUUAUUUCUUGUAUGUGUAAAUCAAGACACAUUUGCAACUUUGAGUUUCUAUAGCAUAUUUUCUUAUCCUCACUUAAAGAGACACAGAAUGCUCCUCUUUGAGAAUUUUAACUUCUUAGGUGUCUAGAGGCUCUAGGUGACCAAAUUCAAUUUUCUGGAAAAUACCUACAGUUAGUUCACAAGAUCCUUGUGAUGAAUGGUUCCUGCUCAGGUUUCUUUAAUGGGUCCGUCAGAUAUUCACUAGGGCCACAGCUUUAAAAAAAAAAAAAAGACAAAACCCAGCCCCAUUCAGAUUAGAUUGACCUUCUGAAAAAGUUACAGCUUUAAAGUAUUAGACCAAUGAUUAUGCAUAAGCCUGAUAAAGACCUUUGAGUCCCUGGGUAGCACAAACAGCUAAGUGCUUGCUAGCUGAAAGGUUGGUAGUUUAAACUCACCCAAGGGGCCUCGGAAGACAGUCAUGGCAAUCUGCUUCUGAAUGACCACAACCUUGAAAACCCUGUGGAGCAGUUCUACUCUGCACACAUGGGGUCGCCAUGAGUCAGAAUUGACUUCAGGGCACUAACAGCUACAAUAAAGACCUUACAGAAAAUUCCUUUUCCUGGUUUGUAGGGUUUACCUUAAGCUGGUAGGAAAAUUUGAUAAUCUCUCUUUUGGAGUUUCGAUAUCGAUAGUGAAGAACCACUGAAAGAUUUAAAAAACAAAACAAAACUCUAAAGUAGAAGUGUGCCUUAAUUUUCUUUUAACAUGUCUGUGACUUAUAUUGAAUUUAAAUGACCACCGAAAAAGUGCUUACUUCUGGUUUCUUGAAUCAGGGAAUCUUUAGUUUCAAGAUGAUUUUCAUCUCCGAUUAACUGUGAUGUGGAAACGGUUAACUGCUUUGUUACUAACUGAAAGUUCGAUGGUUCAGAUCCACCCAGCGAUGCCUUGGAAGAAAGGCCUGUCGGUCUACUUCUGAAUGAUCACAGCCAUUGAAAACCCUCUGUAGUGCAGUUCUGUGCUGACACACAUGUGUGGUCAUGAGUUGGAAUUGACUGUGGCAACUGGUUAGUCCUAGUGCUGUAAUUUGUACAGUGGGUAUGCCCGUCCUCUACAGGGUUUUGUGAGGAUUCAUUGAGAUGGUGAAAAUGCCUUUUAUAAAUUGUAAAGUACUUUAUAAAGGCAUAUUAUUUGUUCUCUACAUUAUUUGUGGCUCCAGAUAGGUUCUGGAUGGAUUCGCUCACUAUAGAAAUGAUUUUUCUUAUUUCAUAAUUUAUUUUUUUCUUUUCUUUUUUUAUUAUUGUAGUUUAGAUGAAGGUUUACAGCACAAACUAGCUUCUCAUUAAACGGUACACAAAUUGUUUUGUGACAUUGCUUACCAACUCUGCGACAUAUCAACACUCUCGCUUCUCAACCUUGGGUUCCCUGCUACCAGCUUUCCUGUCCCCUCCUGCGUUCUAGUCCUUGCCCCUGGGCUGGUGUGCCCCUUUAGUCCCGUUUUGUUUUAUGGGCCUGUCUAAUCUUUGGCUGAAGGGUGAACCUUGGGAGUGACUUCAUUACUGAGCUAAAAGUAUGUCCAGGGGCCAUAUUCUUUGGACUUUCUCCAGUCUCUGUCAGGCCAGUAAUGCUGGUCUUGUAAGUUACAGUUUUGCUCUACAUUUUUCUCCGGCUCUGUCCGAGACCAUCUAUUGUGAUCCUUGUCAGAGCAGUUGGUGGUGGUAGCUGGGCAUCAUCUAGUUGUACUGGAGUCAGUCUGGUGGAGGGUUUAUUUCAUAAUUUAGCCAGUGUUUGAACUUUGAGGUGACUAUACUCUUGUCCUUCUAUUGGGAAUGCCAAAUAAAAAGGAAUAAAAGUAAAGGAGUUAGCAAAUUGUCGUUGAUGUAGACUGUUGCCUUACAAGUUUCACAGUCCAUUGCUGUAUUUCGCAAAACAAAACUGUGAAUUGAAUAGAGGCUAAGGUUUUUCAUAUGAUAGUUUUAUUUUGAUCUUUUGAAGAUAGUUUUCUUCAUAAUCUACUAAAAUGAAGGAAGAGCAGUGGUAUGGAUAACUCAAGGCCUUCCUGGUUUUCUUUGGAAUGCCUGGGAAAAGACAGAGGAAGAAAUGAUGAGUUUGAAUUGUGGUGUUGGGGAAGAAUAUUGAAUUAUGCAGUGGACUACCAAAAGAAAAAAACAAAUCAGUCUUAGAAGAAAUACAACUGGAAUGCUCCUUAGAAGUUAGGAUGAUGAGACUUCAUCAUGCUUACUUUGGACAUGUCAUCAGGAGAAAGACCAGUCACUGGAAAAGGAUAUCAUAUUUGGUAAAGUAGAGGGUCAGCAAAAAAGAGGGAAACCCUCAAUGAGAUGGCUUGACACAAUAACCACAGCAAUGGACUGAAACAUGCCAAUAAUCUUGAAAAUGGCAUAGGACAGGGCAAUGUUUCAUUGUUAUACAUAAGGUCCUCUUGAGGCUGAGCUUACUGGAUGGCAACUAACAACAAGGAUGCCUGAGGAAGGGGCAUUAAUUUCUUAUCUGUUUCUUAAAAAAAAAAAAAAACCCAAACUUCUUGCCACCCGGUGGAUUCCAACUCAUAGUGCCCCUAUAGGAGAGAGUAGAACUGCUGCAUAGGAUUUCCAGGGCUGUAAUCUUCACAGAAAAAAAAUUUAUUUAUUUAUUUUUUAAUCUUCACAGGGAAACCCUGGUGGCGUAGUGGUUAAAUACUGUGGCUGCUAACCCAAGAGUCGGCAGUUCGAAUCCUCCAGGCACUCUUUGGAAACUCAACGGGGCAGUUCUACUCUGUCCUGUAGGGUCGCUAUGAGUCGGCAUCAACUCGACCGCACUGGGUUUGGUUUUUGGUUUAAUCUUCACUUAGCAGACUACCAAGUCUUUCUCCCGUGCAUCGGUUGGUGGGUUUGAAUCCCUGACCUUUUGGUUAGUGGCCGAAGACUUAACUACAGCACCUCCAGGGCUCAUUUUUGAGAAGGAGUACACAUUUCUGGAAGCCUACAAAGUCAGACUAUACAGUCAAAAGGUUUAAAAGUCUAGGCUGUCAGGCAAAACCUAAAGAUGUAGUCAAGUUUGGAAGGUCAACCUAGAAAACUAUGGGCAAAAGUUUAUGAUAAGAAAUUAUAAGUAAAGUCAUAAGGAAACUACAAAAUAAAGGCAGGCACCGUGCCUAGGAUAAAUGUCUGGAUAACCAGGUUGGGACAACGGUUACCAGAGCUUGGCCACAUUUGUCCUACUUAGGUCAAGAGUGAAGCCCCUUCCUUGAAGGGAAGUGGGCGUGCCUGGCUUAUUUGGUAUGGAGCGAGGAAACAGAUCAACCAGGCACGCCCACUUCCCUUCAUCUAAGGGCUACAGACUUGGGGCUUCACUCUUGACCUAAAUAGGACACAUGUAACCACGUUUUGUUAACUGUUGCUUCAACGUGGUUAUCCAGACAUUUUAUCCUAGGCACGGUGCCUGCCUUUAUUUUGUAGUUUCCUUAUGACUUUAUUUGUAAUUUCCUUGUCAUAAAUUUUCCCCCAAGUUGUCCAGCUUGACCUUCUAAACUUGGCUAAAUCUUUAGGCCUUGCCUGACAGCCUGGACUUUUAAACCUUUGGACUGUAUUUUCUGACUUGAUAAAAAAAAAUAAGCUUCCAGAAAUUUGUACUCAUUUCUAAAAAUGCUUGAAGAAAUACCUCUAGUCUUAGAAGUAAAAAUUAGUUUUAAAGAACAAAUUCCCUUAUGUAAGUCAUUUUUUUUUUAAGUCACUGAUUAGUAUAGGCCUCUUUGGAAAUGCCCUCUGGGACCAAAGCUAGGCUGGCUAGAGUUGAAGAUUUGAGAUAAGACCAUUAACCUGUAAGGGGGAGUGUAUAGAGAGGAAAGACUUAAAAAAAAAAAGAAGACCAGAAAUUGAGGUUUGGGAAACUCACAAUUGAGAAAUGUGAGGAAGAAGAGAAGUUAAAGGAAGCUCCAUCAGAGGUAGGAUAAUCAGUAAAGUGCAAUGGUGAUAAAAAAAAAAAGGCACAAGAGAAUUUUUAGGGGCAGCAGUGUAAAAAGCAACAGGGUUCAAAGAGAAUGAAGAAACAACAGGCUAUUGAGUUUGGAAAGGAAGUCAUUAUUGAAAAUGCACUAAUAAAGAUCAGAGUAGUGAGGGUGAAAGCCAAAUUAGGGAUGGGUAGAUAAAGGCAUGUUUUGGGGAAUGGCCAUUUGAGAAAAUGUGAAAAAAAUGAGGAAAGAAGAAAUAGACAGCAGGGUCAUAAGGAGUUUUUUAUUUUCUAAAGUAAAAGGAGAGAAUUGUGUAUUCAAAGGCAAGGAAAAGGAAAAAUUGAUCUUGGAAAGAGAGAGUUUUUUUUUUUUUAAAACAGAAAAUACUAUACUCUAAGAUUUUUUUAUUGUGCUUUAGGUGAAAGUUUACAGCUCAAGUUAAUCUCUCAUUCAAAAAUUUAUACACAUAUUGUUCUGGGACAUUGGUUGCAAUCCCCACAAUGUGACAGCACGCUCCGCCUUUCCACCCCAGGUUCCUAUGGCCAUUCGUCCAGUGAGUUUAAGACUCCUGCUUUCUUAUUCUCACGAGUUUCCAUUAAGAGUUGUGAAGAGAACUUAAUGGCAAAUGCUUGGUGGGUACAUGUAGUUUUUGUCUCUUUCGGUGUUUAUGUUAUCACUAGUUUGGAUUGUAUUGUAUUUGGGUGUCCUAGGGGCUUUUCAUUACUUACAGUAUGAAAUCCAGCCCCUUUAGUUUGACUUUUAAAACCACCUGGCCUUGUAACCAUGAAAGCAAAAAACCAAACCCGUUGCUGUCGAGUCAGUUCCGACUCAUAGUGAAACUAUAGGGCAGAGUAAAAUUGCCUCAGAGGGCUUCCAAGGCUCGGUCUUUAAGGAAGCAGACCGCCGCGUCAUCUUUCUCCUGUGGAGCGGCUGCUGGGCUCAAACUGCUGACCUUUCUGUUAGCAGCUAAGCGCUUAACCACUACGUCACUUACAUUUCAUUUAAAAUGCUUAUUAUUUUAGCCAGACUGAAUUGCUUACGAUUUCCCCUAAGUAGCUGCUCUUCGUACUUUUAUUUGAGCUGACUCUUCUACCUGGUUGGAGCCCUGAUGGUGCAGUGAUUAAGAGCUCAGCUGCUAACCGAAAGGUCGGCAGUUCAAAUCUACUGGUCACUCCUUGGAAACCUUAUGGGACAGUUCUACUCUGUCCUGUAGGGUUACUGUGAGUCGGAAUCAACUCGAUGGCAAGGGGUUUGGUUUGGUUUCUUCUACCUGGUUAGCCCUUCUCCCAAAUUUCUAAAUGUGUAAGUCCUACCUAUCUUUCAAGGACCACCUGAAGUGCCGUCCCCUCAUUACUGGACUUUCUGAUUGACCCAGUAAAAAUAAUUUCCUGACGCCUAUGGCUCUUAUUUGUUCCUGUCAUGUAGCACCACUUGUGAUUUUCUGGCCUUGUACUGUGUUUAUGUAGCUGUCCUCCCACUUUGACUGUGAGCUCUUACAAGGGUGAGAUACCACCACCAGCAGUUGCCGUUGACUCUGACUCAUGGAGACCCUAUAUGUGCACAGUAGAACUGUGCUCCGUGGGGUUUUCAAGGCUGUGACCUUUCGGAAGCAAAUCGACAGAACUUUCUUUGAAGGUGCCUGCGAGUGAGUUUGAAUCACCAACCUUUUGGUUAGUAGUCAGGUGCCACCCAGGGACUCCAAAGGUGUAGGAUACAAGUCAUUAAUGUCAUGAUAGAGAGAGCUACACAUAGUAGGUACUCAGAUUUAUUAUUUAUCUUUUUUAAAGAAUGAAUAUUUUAGCACAGAAGGACCUAUAUGAAAUUUGCCUGGUACUGUAUGCCCUGGUGGCGCAGUGGUUAAGAGCUAUAUCUGUGGCUGCUAACCAGAAGGUUGGCAGUUUGAAUCCACCAGGCACUCCUUGGAAACGCUAUGGGGCAGUUCUACUCUGUCCUAUUGUGUAGUAAAAAGUCAGAAUCAACUCGACGGCAGUGGGUGUGGGGUGUGUGUGUAUUUUAGAUUAAGAUGUCUCCUUGAAAAUACGGUGACAGGGCACAUGGAAGAGAGGAGAGAGUACUUUCCUAGCAUAUCAUUGUUCUUUGAAGAAAAUGCAAAAAUAAAGUUGUUACUGUCAAGUUGGGUCAAGUGUUGUGGACAGAUUCGCCUAACUUCGUAACAUUCAGACAGCACAUAGAAGAAAAUUACCUCAGCCCAGGAACUGAACACUGAAGGGAGACAUUUACCAUAAAAGACUCCGGGCCCUUUAAAGUCCCUUUUUAUUUAUCCUCAGUCUUUUUGAACCUGGUCAUGGACUGACUGUGAUCAGCUUGUUUAUACUUUCUCUCCCAAACAGGCACUUGUUAAAUAUGUGGCAUGUGUUAUUUUUUUAAGUGGAGAAGCUCUGGCAAUUUUUUUUUUUGGAGUGAGCAAAACAAUUUUAGGAAAAAAAAUUCCAGUAACAUGCUCAAAUGAAAAUAUUUUGCAGGAAACUUCCUUUGAUGUAUAAAGAGCUAUAAAGUAUAUGCUGUAUGGAAACUACCUUCUGGACAAUUUAACAUUUCUUUUUUUGGCCAGUAUUUCAGAAAUUCAAAUUCCUUAUAUUUAAGCUUUUGUUUAAAAAGCUAAAAAAAAAAAGAUUUACUUUACCUUCAUCUUUGUCUUGUUUCUAAAAGACUGUUUUUCUCUUCUAAGUAAUUUCUUGUCUUUUGUUGAAUAAUUGUUAACUCAGGGCAAUCUUUUUAAAAAAUCUCUUGGCCUGGUAUGCGCAUGUUUGAAAUUUAAUAGUUAUAGCAGGACAUCAGUUUUAGGUCAGAAUUAGGGAAUUUAGUCAUCUGGAAUAGGCAUAAACCAGAAGCUUGGGGAAUUGGGAGUUCUUGGUUUUGAACCUUUGUAUGCUGUGCUGUGGUGAAAAUAAGCUACAGGCCUAAGGAUGAUGUAUCAGGCUGGUAUUCAUGGAUAGCAAAGGUUAUAAACACCAAGGUUGAACGUUAUCAACGAACUUAGAAGAAAGAGACUAGUGAGUAGAAGUAGGGGAGACUUGGUAAUAGCAGAUGGGACCGGGCAAUAGAAGCAGAGGUAGAGACCUGAGCUAUCAGGAAGCAUCAAGAAGUGAGACCAAAUGGAAAAUGGAGCCAGCUGCUAGGAAACAGGAGACUAAACCAGAGUCAUUGCGUCGCACUGGUGCAGAUGUCCCUGUACAUCUCUGGAACUCCAGCUUUGUACUUCAGUUUGGACUAAGCAAGUCAACAUUUAAUGAUAGGGCAGUCUUAGCCUUUUCAGUAGCUAUUGAGAACAUCUGCUUCCAGCAUCUUAGCUAGGGACCUCAGACAUUUUCGAUUCUCAUCAAAUAAACCAGUAAAUUCUGUCAAUUUUGUCUCCCCCACCUCCCCCCCCACCCCCCAUUUUUUUUUUGCCCAUUCUUCUUUCCUGUCUUUGUUCCCCUAAAUCUUUGUUCCUGGACGACUCUUCUCUGUGCUUGCUUCUUUCAAUUUUUUUUUUUCUUGUUCAUCUCCACCUAAGGUUUUGAGGGCAUGGAUUGUAUUUUGUUCAUAUCACUGUGUUUACAGUUUAUUAAAAUAAGUAAUAUUCUGUAUUUGAUUUUCAUAGUGGUAACCCUAAGAAAUAUGGUUAGAUAGAAGAGAACGUGAAAUCUUAAAUUAUUGUUAACUGUCAGCUUUCAGAGUUAAGAGCUUAAAGGAACAAGCAUCAAAUAUAGUUGGGUAGCUUACUCUCUUUAGCUGAGUAAAUGAAACAUUAUUCAAGGUAUCAGGACAGACCUUCCUUGAUAAUCACUGUUUUUAAAAUACAGUGGGAGAGUAGAUUACUAUAUUGGCAAGCUAUUGUCACAAUAAUAAUGCAUACAAAUUAACCUACAAACUGAAUGGCAUAAUAUAGCAGCCAGUUAUUCUCACAGAUUUCCAGGUUGACUGGGGCUGUGAUGGCUGGAGGAACUCAAAUUCUCCAAAACUCUUUAAGUCGAUUGGGGUGGCUCUGCUUCAUGUUGUUCAUUUGGGGGCCCAGGCUGAGUGGGCAGCAGCUCCCCAGAGGAAGCACUUCUAAUGGCAGAGGCAUGGACACAAGAAGGCAAGUGAAACUGAAAGGCUUCUUAAGGCUCAGGCUCAGAACUGGUACACUGCCGUUUCUGCCUCAUUCUUUUGGCCAAAGCAACUCAUAUAGUCAAAACCAAAGGCAAACCCACAACUAUCUACUUGGUUCCGACUCAUAGCGACCCUAUAGGACAGAGUAGAACUGCCCCAUCGGGUUUCUAAGGCUGUAAAUCUUUAUAGAAGCAGACUGCCACAUCUUUAUUUCUUGGAGUGGAUGGUGGGUUUGAAUUGCUGACCUUUCAGUAAGUACCCGAGUACUUAAAACACUGUGCCACCAGGGCACCACAUAAUGUACAAUUUACUCAUUUAGCGUGUAGAAUCCUGUGGUUUUUAGUAUACUAUUCACAGGAUUGUGCAACCAUCGUCACAGUCAAUUGUAGACCAUUUCCAUCACCCCAGAAAGAAACCCCUACCCAUUAAGCAGGUACUCCCAUCCGUCCUCCGGCCAGCCCCUGGCAACCACAAAUCUACCUUUCUUUCUCAAGGGAUUUGUCUACUCUGGACAUUUCAUGUAAACAGAAUCAUAUAAUAUGGGGUCUUUUUUUUUUUUUUUUUAAUUUUUAUUGUGCUUUAAGUGAAAGUUUACAAAUCAAGUCAGUCUCUCACACAAAAACUUACAUACACCCUGCUACAUAAAAAAAAAAAAAAAAAAAAUACUCCCAGUUACUCUCCCACUAAUGAAACAGCCUGCUCUCUCCCUCCACUCUCUCUUUUCACGUCCAUUUCUCCAGCUUCUAACCCCCUCCACCCUCUCAUCUCCCCUCCAGGCAGGAGAUGCCAACAUAGUCUCAAGUGUCCACCUGAUCCAAGAAGCUCACUCCUCACCAGCAUCCUUCCCCAACCCAUUGUCCAGUCCAAUCCAUGUCUGAAGAGUUGGCUUUGGGAAUGGUUCCUGUCCUGGACCAACAGAAGGUCUGGGGGCCAUGACCACUGGGGUCCUUCCAGUCUCAGUCAGACCAUUAAGUCUGGUCUUUUUAUGAAAAUUUGGGGUCUGCAUCCCAUUGCCCUUCUGCUCCUUCAGGGGUUCUCCGUUGUGUUCCCUGUCAGGGCAGUCAUCGGUUGUAGCUGGGCACCAUCUAGUUCUUCUGGUCUCAGGAUGAUGUAGUCUACAGUUCAUGUGGCCCUUUCUGUCUCUUGGGCUCAUAAUUACCACGUGUCUUUGGUGUUCAUUUCUCCUUUGAUCCAGGUGGGUUGAGACCAAUUGAUGCAUCUUAGAUGGCUGCUUGCUAGCGUUUAAGACUAUGGGGUCUUUUGUAAUUGGCUUCUUUCACUUAGUAUAACGUCUUGAAGAUUCAUCCAUAUGGUAGCAUGUAUUAUUGCUUCAUUCCUUUUCAUUGCCAAAUAAUAUUGCAUUGUAUGGAUAUGUUGCCUUUUUUUUUUUUUAAAUCUAUUCAUUACUUGAUAGAUGUUUAGGUUGUUUCUGCUUUUUCGCUAUUAGGAAUAAUACUGCUAUUGAAAAUUUGUGUGUAAGUUUUUAUGCGGAUGUAUGUUUUCAUUUGUUUUGGCUAAAUACCUAGGAGUGGAAUUGUUGGAUCAUAUGGUGUCUCUGUGUUUAACAUUUUGAGAAGCUGCUCAACUGUUUUCCAAAGUGACUGCACUGUUAAACACUCCCACCAGCAACAUAGAAGCGUUUCAUUUCCUCCACAUCCUUGACAACACUCGUUUUUAUCCAUCUUUUUGAUUAUAGCCAUCCUAGUGAGCGUGAAGUGGUAACUCAUGGUUGUUUUUAUUUGUGUAAUGUUUGUAUUUAAUAAAGGGUUUAUAGAGGGAAAAAAGCAGUCGUUUAAAACGUCAGACUUGUUCGUUCUUAACAGUGCAGUACCAAAGUUGAACCUCAGUUUUAGAUAUCUGAAAGUCUAGCAUCAAGAAAAAAAAUUAAUAGCUCUUUUGGCUCACAGAUUUUUUUCUAAUAAGGCUACUCCUUAUUUCUUUUAUGUACUAGAAUCGUUUUGGAAGAUGUUGUUGCAGCUGUUGUUUGCUGCUGUCAAGUUGUUUUCAACUCAUGGCAGCCCCAUGUGACGGACUAGAACUGCCCCAUAGGAUUUUCUGGGCUUACAGAAGCAGAUCCCCAGGCUUUUCUCCCAUGGAGUGACUUAGGCAGGUUUGUACCGCCAACCUUUCAGUUAGCAGCUGAGCGCUGAACCUUUUGCACCACCAGAGCUCCUGUCUUAGGAAGAUACUGGCUUGAAAUGAUUAUUAAACUGGUUCCCUCCCUUUGAGUAAGUGAAUGACUACAUUACGCCUGCAACCUGCUACAUCGUCAUUUGACCUGAGAGUAUGACUGGUUUAAUGACUAGAGUCUCUGCCUCCCGCGUAUUACUUCCUUGUCAGGAAGGUGAAUCACCAGAGGAAUUAGUUUGUAAAAUAUGGCAUUUACUAGAGCAGCAUUGUCUACAUAUGUAGUUUAAAGUUUUCCAGUAGGCACAUUAAAAAGUAAAAAGAUAACAGGUGAAAUUAAUUUUAAUAAUGUAUUUUAUUUAACCUAGUAUAUCAGAAAUCUUAUAUCAUUGAUUGUACGUAAUCAGUCUAAAAAUUAUUAUGAUGUAUUUUACAUUUUCAGUACAAAGUCUUCUCUGUUCAGACUAGCCACAUUUCUAGUGGCUAGUGACUACCAUAUUGAAUAACACAGUUGGGGUAUCUAAGAGCUUAUGAUCUAGAUUUUUGCUCCUGUAUCUAAAAUUAGUUAUCUGCAUUAUCUUUAGGAAAAACAGAUGGGUGAUUGGUCAGCCUGUAUUUCUGGUUCUUUAAUUUUAUAUCGUUACUGAUUUAUUUUGGUAACUUGGGAGAGGGUCUUCUUACGCUCUUAGAGAUUUUAAUGCAAUUUUAGGCUGUUGAACCUAUGUAAAAAAAAAAAAAAAGCCUAUGUAGUCAAAUGAAUUUAGAGAAGUACAGAUAAUGAGCUCCUUAUAGUUUCGGUUUUUGGUUAUUGGUAGUUAGCAAGAGAAGAAAAAAAUGUCUUCACCCUCAUCAUUAGAGAUGCAACAGGUAUUAUAGUUCUUAGCAAAUGAAGGAAAUCUGUUGAAACGGCUGUGCGUGGGCCUUAGUCCAGUUGUUCCAGAUGUUGAGCUGUGUUUCGGCCUGUUCUUUAUCGGUUGUGUCCUACUGGUGUUGUCUGGCCGCUUAGCUCACUGGGUUAGACAGAACAAGGUGGCAGGUUUGAUCUCUAUAUUUAACGAAUGACAUUAUGCCUGUUGGGACUCUGCCAUAGUAACUAAAACAGAAUAAGUAGGGUCCUGUCUAUUCUAGGACUUUACAGUGUUUUUAGAGACUGGGUGUCAGAUGCCAACAAAUGCAGUUAAGACAGCUUUCUGAGAAAAGAGAUUUUGCAGUGGGCCAUUAUACGGACUGUGUGUCCCAGUCGAUUAUUUGAUUACUGGGGAAACUAAAAUUUGGUCAGAAGCGAUGUCUUAGUAUUUGAAUGCUUUUACUCCGAGCUUACACUCUCUAAUUUGACUCAGUCCCCACUGCUUUCUGUUCUCUACACUGAGUCUCUGUGUCACUGGUUUAUAUCAUUGACCUAACCCGUGAAGGGCAUUGGUGGUUCUGUGGUAGAAGUCAUUUCGUCCCUUCCCUGCGGGAGACCCAGGUUUGCUACCCAGCCAGAGCAUCUCAUGUGCAACCACCGCCCGUCUGUCAGUGGAGGCUUGCAUGUUGCUGUGAUGCUGAACAGAUUUCAGCAGAGCUUUCAGACUAAGAUGUACUAGGAAGAAAGGCCUGGCAAUGCACUUCUGCAGAUCACCCAGUGAAAACCCUGUGGGGUCACAGUGAUCAGAUCUGCAGCUGACUGUGGAGGUAGCUCACUACCGAGCAGUGUUUUGGUCUGUUGUGUGUGGGGUCACCGUCAGUCGAGGGCCGACUCAGUGGAAGGAAAAAACACCACUGCCACCUAGUCCUGAAGGCAUUUGAAUUGUGACCCCAGAUAUUCACAUCUUGGUCAUUGCCUCAGUGAUGAGAUGGGGGUAAGGAGAUGGCUGAUCUGUGCCCCAGUGACAGUGGAUUAAAAAAAGGCUAUCUUAUGGGCACCUGCAUAUUUAAAUACAAAUCCUUUUCUCCAUAUUUCACCAUUGCAUUAUGUAUUGCUACUGAAUGCCUUAACGUUCUCACAAAUGUUCCAUCAGCCAUCAUUCUGCUUUUCCGAGCCUGGACAUGGUUACUCUAAAUGGCAACCACAUGCUUUUGUAUUGGGGUCUGUGAAUGGUAUUCUAACCAGAAGAAGAGAAUCUCUACUAAACUUAACAUGUUAUAAGGAUGUGCAUUCAUCUUUCAACUCUUGUCAUUUGUGGUGGUGGUGGUGUGUGCCAUCGAGUUGAUUGCGACUCAUAUCAACCCUAUAUGACAGAGUAGAAUUGUUCCCAUAGGGUUUCCUAGGCUGGAAUUUUUAAGGGAGCAGAUCGUCAGGUCUUUUGUCCCGUGGAGUUGCUGGUGGAUUUGAACCGCUGAACUUUUGGUUAGCAGUAUAGGCCAAUUUGUGAGUCGUGGAUUUGAAUAUGAAUGCCACAUGAAAUGCAUUAUGUGCCAUAGGCCUUAAGUGUACAACUGCAAAUUAAAGAAUACCCUGAAUGACACUUUUUGGCCAACACUUGGAAGGCUGUGUUGAAUUUUUGGUAUACAUCAUGAUUCUUAUAAUUUCCAUGUAGUUCAUAUUUUGACACUUUAUUAAUUUUUUCAUUUUUGAAAUGUGCUUGAAAGCUUUAGCCUUGUCUUCUAUUUACGGAGUUAGAAACACUUUGGUUCGUUGGUAUUAUAAAAUAUAAAUUUAAGGGCAAUCUAAUUCUCAGCUGAGUGCACAGUCUAAGUUCUAAGCAAGUUGAACCAGUGGGAACAGAAAUGGAAGCCUUGCCUCUUCUCUAGUCCUAAAUAGCACCGAAAUAAUGUGGUGCAGUGAUUAAGAGCUUGGCUGCUAACCAAAAGGUUGGCGGUUUGAAUCCAACAACCACUCCUUGGAAACCCUGUGGGGCAGUUUUACUCUGUCCUGUAGGCUCACUGUGAGUUGGAAUCGACUUGACGGCAGUGGGUUUGUUUGUUUUUUUGGUGGGAAAACCUAACUUGGACCUCUUUUGGUAGCAAAGCCAACUUUAACUGAUGUGAGAUUGUAGUAUCCAUUUAUCUCAGUGUGACUUUUCAUUCACUGUGCUGCAGAAAUAUUAAUGUGUUUGAUUAUGAAGUGCCACCAGAGAUUCUGCCGGAGAUGUUAGGUAAUCUUUAACGUAUGAACUGUGUUAUCUGUCUAGAAAAAAAAAAAAUGAGGAUCCCGAAACAUAUCUGGCUGCAAGGGUAUCAGACAAGGAAUUCUGGAACCGUGAUAGUCGAUUUCUCGUUAUUUCAUGGUGGUUAUAUUCUGUAAAGUUGCCACGAACACUGAAUGAGUGAAUACCAAACCAUUGCUCCUAGGGAAAAUACAGAACGAGGUUCCUGCAAGCCUCUGGUCACAAAUUUUCUUCAGUUGAUCAAUACAUAACCUUGCUUAAUGUGUGUUUCUUUUUAAAGGUACAUUUAAUGUAUAUUGUUGAUUCAUUAAAAUUGACCUCACAGCCAAUAGCACCAUAACUCUUGCCUGAACGAAUUUUUUCUGUAAGGCUCAGCACAAUCUUCUUGCGCUUAAGAACACUAGAUAGGACAUCUGCACCGGGCUUGGAGGCCGUUUUAAACAGCGAAAUCAGCAACAAAGCACAAAAAUGUGGAAAAGGUGGCACUAAAUAGAUCAGAAAAAGGAUACUUUAAUUUACAGUAUGAGGGCAGAAACAAAUGGUAGAGCGUUGCCUGGUUCAGCCUCAGCUGGGGACUUGCGUGUUGGGCGACUCAAGUUUUUCACUGCUCUGUGCAUGUUCGCAAAUGCCUGAGAAAGCACCAUGAGUAUUGAUUUUAGGGUGACAAAUAAGUUCUAGCCGGGUAGGCAGAUUCACGGAGUAUGGUGAAUAAUGAGGAUCGACUGUAAAAUUUACUUUAUUGGUGAAAUUUUAGAAAAUGUAGGUAAACAGAAAAAGAAAAUAAAACCCACCUGUAAUUCCACCAAUCCUGAGAUCCUUUGUUAAAUUUGGUGCAUAUAUGUCAGCUCUUUGAAAAUAUGCAUAUGAUUGUGACUGUUAAUUUUUUUUACUUUUUAAUUACACAAAAUAAGUUUUGUUGUUGAAAAAUCAGAAAUCUUGAAUAAGGGGUAAUAAAAAAUGAAAAUUAUCCAAAGUUUUACUUCCCUAAAGAAUUCUUGGUAAGAUUUUUUGUUACCCUUUUAGGAAUUAUUUGUGGGAACAAUAGAUUUUUUUUCUUAACACAAAAACGAGAACAGGUUCAUACUAUAUCCAUAGAAAAAUAUGCGUUCUGUAGAUGUAAGGAGCCCUGGUGGUGCAGUGGUUAAGUGCUCGGCUGCUAACCAAAAAAGGUUGGCGGGUUGAACCCACUGGCUUCUGCGCAGGAGAAAGAUGUGGCAGUCUGCUUCCAUAAAGGUGGAAACCAUAUGGGGCAGUUCUGCUCUCCUACAAGAUUGCUGUGAGUUGGAAUCGACUUGGUAGCAAUGAGUUUGGUUUGGUUUUAUAUGUAAGUUCUGAAGCAUAGUAAACAACUGUGAACCUCACCAGGUGACCAAAGAGCUAAAACAUUUCCAGUACUCUUACUGGUCACUGCAUACUCCUUGAUCCCUCUUCCUACCUCUGUCCCCACUAGAUAACUACUAUUGUGAAUUUUGUGUCUAUCAUUCCUUUUUAAAAAUAACUAGUUUUACUACAUUUUUGUUUUACUGUAUGACCUAUUGUUUAGUUUUGAUUUGUUUUUAUAAAGUUCAGUGUUAUGAAGAUGUUAUAAUGUAUAUUAUCUUCUAUAAUUUGCUUUUUUCAAUCAAAAUGAUUUCUAAGAUUUGUCUUUGUUGUCAUGUGUUCCUCAUUUCUAGUGCUGUGUAGUGUUCCAUGGUAUGAAUGUACCGUAAUUUAUCCACUUUCUGGUUGAUGCAUAUUUAGUUUUCCGCUGCGGGGCUAUUUCAGAGAGUUCUGCUGUGAACGUUUCUUGUACCUCCUGCUGCUGUUCGUGUUUAACAGUUUUCCUAGUAUUUGUACCUAGCAGUAGAAUUUAUCAGUCUUUUUUAUGGUUGAGUGCUUUUGUGUCAUAAGUAAUAUUCCCUAGCCAGAGGACUUAAAGGUAUUCUCUUUUAUUUCCCUCUAAAUAGGAGUAGUGGAGCCCUGGUGGUGCAGUGGUUAAGAGCUUGGCUGCCAAACAAAUGGUUGGCGGUUCGAAUCCACCAGCCACUCCUUGGAGACCCUAUGGGGCAGUCUGUUCUGUCCUAUAGGGCCGCUGUGAGUUGGAAUUGACUCAACGACGAUGGGUUUGGUUUUUUUUUGGGGGGGGGGGGGUAAAUAGGAAUAGUCCUUGGAUGGCGCAGAUGGUUAAGUGCUAGACAGGCCUAGUGACCUGCUUCCAAAAAGUUGCACAGCCUUGAAAACCCUGGUAGUUCUGCUCUGCCCACGUGGGAUCCCCUUGAGUUGGAAUCGAUAUCACCAGCAACUGAAAACAACAAGGAGUUAGGGUUUAAUGCAUUGUCUUUCGUGUAUAAGUUCCUAAUCCAUCUAGAAUUAAUUUUUACUUGUAUAUGGGUAAGGUGGGGAUCCGGUCAUUCCAGCACUACUUAUUUAUUUAUAUUGUACUUUAUAUGAGUGUUUACAGAACAAACUAGUUUCUGAUUAAACAGUUAGUACACAUAUUGUUUUAUGAGAUUGGUUAACAACCCCACGACAUGUCAACACUCUCCCUUCUCGACCUUGGGUUUAUUAUUUAUUUAUUAUUAACCAGCUUUCCUGUCCUCUCCUGCCUUCUAGUCCUUGCUCCUGGGCUCUUGUGCCCCUUUAGUCUCAUUUUGUUUUAUGGGCCUGUCUCAUCUUCGGCUGUGAGGGGUGAACCUCGGGAGUGACUUCAUUACUGAGCUAAAAGGGUAUCCGGGAGCCAUAUUCUUGGGGUUUCUCCCAGCACCAUUUCUUGACUAGUCCCACCUGUCCUCGAAACCCAUGGCCACUGAGUUGAUUCUGACUCAUAGCGAAGCUAUAGGACAGAGUAGAACUGUACCGUAGGGUUUCCAAGGCUGUAAAUCUCUACUGAAGUAGACUGAUACAUCUUUCUCCUGCAGAGCUGCUGGUUGUUCUGAACUGCCACCUUUCAGUUGGCAGCCGAUUGCUUUAACCACUGUACUGCCAGGGCUCUUUGCCUAUCUUCAGUGAUCUGUAAUGUCACCUCUGAAUCUGUUUCUCGUAUGUGUAUGUGCUUGCGUAUGUGUGUGACGCCUAGAUAAAUACAGAUAUGCACACAUAAAUAUAUAUACACACAUCUAUUAAAAAGAACUCCAAACUCGGUGCCAUGGAUUUGAUUCUGAUCCAUAGCGAGCGAACCUAGAGGACAGGGUAGAACUGCCCCAUAGGGUUUCCAAGGAGUGACUGGUAGAUUUUAACCAUUGGCCUUUUGGUUAGCAGCGGUAUCACUUAACCACUGCACCACCAGGGCUCCUGCACAUCUACAUGUAUGAAAAUAACAUUAACGUGGUAAAUAAUGUUUUACCUGAUUUUCUUCUGUUUAUUAUGCCUUGAACAUCUUUCCAUGUCAUUAAAUGUAUCGUCAUUGUUGUUGUUAGGUGCCGUUAAGUUGGUUCUGACUCAUAGCGACCCUGUGCACAACAGAACGAAACACCGCCUGGUCCUGAGCCAUCCUUAUAAUUGUCGUUAUGCUUGAGCUCAUUGUUGCAGCCACUGUGUCAGUCUGCCUCGUUGAGGGUCUUCCUCUUUUCCGCUGACCCUAUACUUUGCCAAGCAUGAUGUCCUUCUCCAGAGACCGAUCCCUCCUGACAUGUCCAAAGUAUGUAAGACGCAGUCUCGCCAACCUUGGUUCUAAGGAGCGUUCUGGUUGUACUUGUUCCAGGACAGAUUUAUUUGUUCUUCUGGCAGUCCAUGGUGUAUUCAGUAUUCUUUGCCAACACCACAAUUCAAAGGCAUCAAUUCUUAUUUGGUCUUCCUUAUUCAUUGUCCAGCUUUCACAUGCAUAUGAUGCGAUUGAAAAUACCAUGGCUUGGGUCAGAUGCACCUUAGUCUUCAAGGUGACAUCUUUGCUCUUCAACACUUUGAAGAGGUCCUUUGCAGCAGAUUCACCCAGUGUAAUGCGUCUUUUCAUUUCUUGACUGCUGCUUCCGUGGGUGUUGAUUGUGGAUCCAAGUAAAAUGAAAUCCUUGACAACUUCAAUCUUUUCUCCGUUUAUCAUGAUGUUGCUCAUUGGUCCAGUUGUGAGGAUUUUUGUUUUCUUUAUGUUGAGGUGCAAUCAAUCUAUACUGAAGGCCGUGAUCUUUGAUCUUCAUUAGUAAGUGCUUCAAGUCCUCUUCGUUUUCAGCAAGCAAGGUUGUAUCAUUUGCAUAAUGCAGGUUGUUAAUGAGUCUUCCUCCAAUCCUGAUGCCGCAUUCUUUUUCAUAUAGUCCAGCUUCUCGGAUUAUUUGCUCAGCAUACAGAUUGAAUAGUUAUGGUGAAAGUACAACUGUGGCGCACACCUUUCCUGACUUUAAACCAAUCAGUAUUUCCUUGUUCUGUCUGAACAGCUGCCUCUUGGUCUAUGUAAAGGUUCCUCAUGAGCACAAUUAAGCAUUCUGGAAUUCCCAUCCUUCUCAACGUUAUCCAUAAGUUGUGAUGAUCCACACAGUCGAAUGCCUUUGCGUAGUCGAAAAAACACAGGUAAACAUCCUUCUGGUAUUCUCUGCUUUCAGCCAGGAUCCAUCUGACAUCAGCAGUGAUAUCCCUGGUUCCACGUCCUCUUCUGAAACUGGCCUGAAUUUCUGGCAGUUCCCUGUCGAUAUACUGCUGCAGCCGUUUUUGAAUGAUCUUCAGCAAAAUUUUGGUUGAGUGUAAUAUUAAUGAUAUUGUCUUCUAAUUUCCACAUUUGGUUGGAUCACCUUUCUUGGAAAUAGGCAUAAAUAUGGAUCUCUUCCAUUUGGUUGGCCAGGAAGCUGUCUUCCGUAUUUCUUGGCAUAGACGAGUGAGCACCUCCAGUGCUGCAUCUGUUUGUUGAACUAUCUCAAUUGAUAUUCCAUCAAUUCCUGGAGCCUUGUUUUUCGCCAAUGCCUUCAGAGCAGCUUGGACUUCUUCCUUCAGUACCAUCGGUUCUUGGUCAUAUGCUACCUCUUGAAAUAGUUGAACAUCCACUAAUUCUUUUUGGUAUAAUGACUCUGUGUAUUCCUUCCAUCUUCUUUUGAUGCUUCCUGCGUCAUUUAAUAUUUUCCCCAUAGAAUCCUUCACUAUUGCAACUCGAGGCUUGAAUUUUUUCUUCAGUUCAUUCAGCUUGAGAAACGCCGAGUGCGUUUUUCCCUUUUGGUUUUCCAUUUCCAGCUCUUUGCACGUGUCAUUAUAAUACUUUACUUUGUCUUCUUGAGCCGCCCUUUGACAUCUGCUCAGUUCUUUUACUUCAUCAAUUCUUCCUUUUGCUUUAGCUGCUCAACUUUCGAGAGCAAGUUUCAGAGUCUCCUCCGACAUCCAUCUUGAUGUUUUCUUUCUUCCCUGUCUUUUCAGUGACCUCUUGCUUUCUUCAUGGAUGAUGUCCUUGAUGUCAUUCCACAACUCGUCCGGUCUUCGGUCACCAGUGGUCAGUGCAUCAAAUCUGUUCUUGAGAUGGUCUCUAAAUUCAGGUGGGAUAUACUCAAGGUCAUAGUUUGGCUCUUGUGGACUUGCUCUGAUUUUCUUCAGUUUCAUCUUGAACUUGCAUAUGAGCAAUUGAUGGUCUGUUCCACAGUCGGCCCCUGGCCUUAUUCUGACUGACGAUAUUCAGCUUUUCCAUCGUCUCUUUCCACAGGUAUAGUCAAUUUAAUUUCUGUGUGCUCCAUCUGGCGAGGCCGAUCUGUAUAGUUGCUGUUUGUUUUGGUGAAAGAAGGUGUUUGCAAUGAAGAAGUCAUUGGUCUUGCAAAAUUCUACCAUUCGAUCUCUAGCAUUGUUUCUAUCAUCAAGGCCAUGUUUUCCAGCUACUGAUCCUUCUUUGUUUCUAACUUUUUCAUUAAAAUCACCAGUAAUUAUCAAUGCAUCUUGAUUGCAUGUUUGAUCAAUUUCAGACUGCAGCAGCUGAUGAAAAUCUUCUAUUUCUUCAUCUUUGGCCCUAGUGGUUGGUGCGUAUAUUUGAAUAAUUGUCGUAUUAACUGGUCUUCCUUGUAGGUGUAUGGCUAUUAUCCUAUCAAUGACAGCAUUGUACUACAGGAUAGAUCUUGAAAUGUUCUUUUUGAGGAUGAAUGCAACACCAUUCCUCUUCAAGUUGUCAUUCCCAGCAUAGUAGACUAUAUGAUUGUCCGAUUCAUAAUGGCCAAUACCAGUCCAUUUCAGUUCACUAAUGCCUAGGAUAUUGAUGUUUAUGUGUUCCAUUUCAUUUUUGACAAUUUCUAAUUUUCCUAGAUUCAUACUUUGCACGUUGCAGGUUCCGAUUAUUAAUAUUUCUGAAGAGUAUUAGCCAGUAAAAUGUAUCAUACAUCAGUUUUUAGUGGGUACUUACUAGAUUACAGAAACCCUGGUGCCGUAGUGGUUAAGUGCUAUGGCUGCUAACCAAGGGUCAGCAGUUCGAAUCUGCCAGGUGCUCCUUGGAAACUCUACGGGGCAGUUUUUCUCUGUCCUGUAGGGUCGCUAUGAGUUGGAUGGAAUCUACUUGACAGCACUGGGUUUUUGGUUUUGGUUUGGUUUAGUGGAUUUACUAUAUUCAGUCCCACUAUUCUUUUUAUAUUAUUGUGUUAAUCUUUUAAAUAAUAAAUUCAGGUAGCUCAAAAAGGUAUACAAAUUAAAAAUUUUUCUCAUUCCUGAUCAUCCAGUUUUCCUCUCUAGAAAACUUGUAACCAGCUUCUCUCUCCCCCUCUUUUUUUCCUAUUUGUUUUCAGCAGUCAAAAUCAUAGCAUACCAUACACCCUCUGAUGCUAUAUCUUUUUUCCCUUAACAGUAUAUCUCAACCACACUAACUAUUGAUUUCCUCUUCUACCUGUCCUCUAGUAAUCAGUUGUAUGGUGUAGGAGAGCUUUUGAAUAUGGCUACCUUAACUAACAGCUAGAACGAGGAGAAUGUUAAACUCAGGAAUGAAAUCUGAAAGGGAGAAGACAAAAGCAGGGAACAGAAGAGAGAUGGAAAGAAUAUGGGUAUGAAUAUCAUCAAAUUUUGUUCUCAGGAGGACAAAUUGCGGUUUUAUUGAGAGUUUGUCAGGUUCAUUGUUAACUGUUAAUGUAUACAACAUUUAUCCUUAAAUCAGUCCCGUGAAAUGUAGGCUUUUUUUCCAUUUACAGUUGAGAAAACUGAUUACUCAACCAAGACGGCUAUAUACUGUUAAUGAGUGGCAGAGCUAGAAUUUGAGCACAGGCAUUUUUGACUCCAAAGCCAGGGCUCUUUACCAUUAAAAUGACUCUCACAGAAUAAAGGGAGCUUGAGAAAAAGUACAUAUUCAGUCCCUCUCUUGGAAAUUCAUAAUCUGAAUUACCAUAUUAUGAACUCCUGAGUAGUCGAGCAGUAAGAAAGGAACCAAUUUAACUUUUUUUAAUUUUUAAAAUUUUGUUGAGAAUAUAUACAGCAAAACAUUCAUCUGUUUCUACAUGUACAGUUCAGUGACACUGGUUACAUUCUUUGAGCUGUGCACCCGUUCCCACCGUCUUUUUCUGAGUUGUUUCUCCCCCAUUAACAUAAACUCACUGCUCUCUAAGGUUCCUAUCUGAUCUUUCAAGUUGAUGUUGUCAAUUUGAUCCCAUAUAGAGAGUUUUUAAAAAAGCAUAAUGCUCAAGGCAGACAUUCUUUGAUAGUUAAGCUAAACUAUGGUUUUAAGAAGACUUCAGGGGCUAUUUUUGGUUUAAGGUUUAAAGAUGAUCUCAGAGCAAUAGUUUCAGGAGUUCAUCCAGCCUCCAUGGCUGUUUAACUUGGUUUUAAAUGUUAAAACACACGGGAAGAGUUUGUCAUGCUUACCAAUACCUGGAACAGUUCUUCCUUAACGUUAUUUUCAGAAGUGCCAUCACAGUUGUGUUUCCUUUCUUGUAUCAAAUCUCAUGAAAGGCAAAGGACAGGAAAUUAACUCCUAACUUGGUGACGAGGAGAAGCAGCCCAUAGAAUUCCUACCUAACACAGACCAAAUGUGUAGCUUUUUGGAGGGUGGGGAACGGCAGAUGCCUCAUAGUGUAGUGCAGGGUCACUCAGAAGGACAGGUGUUUUUCCAGAGGUAAAUUGCCUGCGACUACGACUUCUCUUUUCCACGUGACAAAGAAAACAGUUACGUGCCGGCUUUAUUUCAGUGUGUAUGAUAUGUGAAAACUAUAAUACAGCAAAAGGACUUUGGACAUUCAUGUAGAGAGAUUUAAAAAAAUACAUCUGACCAGCAGUGCUUUUCACACAUGAGCUUUGAGUUAAGGACUCAGACUUGGUCGUGGAUUGUUCAUUUUAGCUAAACCACACGUAAUGUAAGCUGUGAUUUAGGAAAUGAAAGACUGUGUCUGUUAUGGGUGUAUUAUUUGAACAUUGGACGGAAACUAGUGUCAGAGAUGGUCAGCAAAUGAAUGAAUCAGCAGUCUAUUUGCAUUUAUUUUACGGGAGAAAGUCAUUUGUAGGCUAAAUUGAAACCCAAUCCCUCUUUAGGAAUUGCAGUCUUAUCUUUUUUUUUUUAAACUGCGUCCUCUGACAUUUUUGUCCAUUUAAUUUUUCAAGUUGUCAUAUUCUAUAAAGCAUCUUGUUGAUGUUUUAAUUGAAAGUACAUUACAUCUAUUGUUUAACUUGGAUAAAAUUGUCUUCUGCAUGAUGUUACGGUUAAUUACAUCUCUGCAACUAAUCAGGAUUUUUUUCGCAUUAAAGUUUAGGUAAUCUUUAAAAAAAAUACAUUCAAUACAUUAAUUACCAAGUAUUUUACACUUUUUAUUGCUGUUUUAAAUGAAAUAUUUUCCCAUUCUUUUUAUAGCUGGUUAUUACUGGUUUACAGAAAUACUACCGGUUUUUGUGGAUUUGCUUUAUAUUCCAGCAUGUAUUGUUGCUGUUGUUAGGUGCCGUGGAAUCGGUUCUAACUCCUAGCGACCCUGUGUACAACAGAACGGAACACUGCCCGGUCCUUUGUCAUCCUCAGGGUCAUCGCUAUGCUUGAGCCUAUUGUUGCAGCCACUGUGUCACUCCAUCUUGUUGAGGGUCUUCCUGUGUUUGCUGACCCUGUACUUUACCAAGCAGAGUGUCCUCCUCCAGGGACUGGUCCCUCCUGAUAAGUGUGUGAGGCUUAGUCUCACCAUCCUUGCUUCUAAGGAGCAUUCUGGCUGUACUUCUUCCAAGACAGAUUUCUUUGUUUGUUUGCCAGUCCGUGGUAUAUUCAAUAUUCUUUGCCAACACCACAAUUAGGCUUCAGUUCUUCGCUCUUCCUCCAACAGCUGUAGUAGAAUAAUUAUUCUAAUAAUUCUUUGCUUAAGUCUUAUAGAUACAGAAUUAAGUAGUGAUAUUUAUCAUUCUAGUUUUUAUUCUUUUUUUAUUUAAGAGAACUAACCUGGAGGAAAGCAUAUGUAAUAUACUGUUAUAAAUAACUAAGUCAAAUUUGCGAUGUAGAUUGUAUUAAUUAUGUUAAAACAAACAAAAAAGCUCUUUAUUUUUUUUUGUGUAAGCGUGGGAUUGAUUGAAUUUUACAAAUUGUAGAGUCUGUUGCUAUCCUGACUCCUUGCAUGAAUCUCCUGCAUGAUGUAUGGUAUCAGUAGUUUUGCCUUUUUUAAAAAAAACUUUCAUUCUUGGAAUAAAAUCUAUUUAGUGUUGUUGUUGUUAGGUGCCGUCGAGUCGGUUCUGACUCAUAGCAACCCUGUGUACCACAGAACGAGACAUUGCCCAGUCCUGCGCCAUCUUUACAAUCGUAGUUAUGCCUGAGCCCAUUGUUGCAGCCACCGUGUCGUCUUUUGUGUGCCUUCCAGCCUGGGGGGCUCAUCUUCCAGCACUAUAUCAGACAAUGUUCUGCUGCUAUUCAUAAAGUUUUCACUGGCUAAUUCUUUUCAGAAGUAGACUGCUGGGUCCUUCCUCCUAGCCUGUCUUAGUCUGGAAGCUCAGCUGAAACCUGUGCUCCGUGGGUGACCCUGCUGGUAUCUGAAUACUGGUGACAUAGCUUCCAGCAUCACAGCAACACGCAAGCCCCACAGUACGUCAAACUGACAGACAGGUGGGGGAAAACCUGUUUAGUAGUUUUUAAUAAUUCCUUGAGGUAUUGUUUUAAUUGCUUAAGAUUUUUACAUCAUUAUUCAUAAACAAGAUGGUCCUAUAAUUUUCUUUUUAAAUUUUAUUUUAUCAGCUUUAAGACGUGAGCAGUAUUUCCUCCACAACCUUUUGGGGUCAGGAAUGCCUUGUUUUUCUUAGAAGGUUUUUGAUUCGUGUGUUGAGGUUUAGUGUGCUUGUGGGGGUGAGGAAGGGAUGGCUGAGUUAUUUUUUUGUAACUUGGUUCGUGUCUUCUGUUACAGAUUGUUUACUCAAGUUUUCUUUAUUAAUUUUGGUAUUUAAUAUUUUAAUAGCAUAUUAUUCAUUGAACUUAAGUUUUGAAAUUUGUUAGCAUCUAAGUGUGGAUGGAAACCUUGAUGACAUAGUGGUUAAGAGCUAUGACUGCUAACCAAAAGGUCAGCAGUUUGAUUCCACCUGGCACUCCUUGCAAACGCUGUGGGGCAGUUCUCUUCUGUCCUGUAAGGUUGCUAUGAGUUGGAAUCAACUCGAUGGGAACAGGUUUGGUUUUUGGUUUUAUGUUGUGUAUAUCAGAAUUUUGUUCUUUUUAUUGGUGAAUAAUAGUCCUCUGUAUCACAGUUGGCCAUUCACCAGUUGAUGCAUAUUUUGGCUGUUUCUUAUUUUAGCCUUGUAAAAAUGGCAUGGAGGCAGUGUUUGACCGCCUCUAACUUCACAAGGGGGAAGGCGAGUCAAGAUCAGCAGCCCAAGGUGGAUUCCUGUGAGGCGGAGAUCAGACAUGCCUCCUCUCUCUGCCAUCUUUACCAGUUAUGACACCAGCCGUCCCUUCCCCAACACUCUCUACCUCUCUGCUGGGUUCAAGAAUUCAUUGUGAUGGCCACAGAGAAUUCACAGACAAUACUCACAAUUACGGGGUUUAUUAGGGAAGUAACAGUUACAAUUCAGGCUCAGGAACACUCAGAAUACAGUUCUUCUAUCAGGAUAGCCUCUUCUCAGCUGUGCCCACAGGCAGGCCUCUUUCUGGCCCUGGGCUUAUACCAUGCUCGGGCAAGUGUUACAAAACUCUUCUAGCACUGCCAAUAAGUACCCCAAGGCACCUCACUCCGCCAGUAGGCCUUGGCCCGAAGGUGCUCAGCUUUACCUCUGUGGGUCAGCAAACCUAGCUCCACCAAGUUUCCAGAGGUACCCUACCCCUUUAGCAAGCCUACUGCCCAAAGGCAAUCAGCUUUCUCACUCUUCGGGCUUGGAAGCCCAUUGCACUGUCUCCUGGUUCUGCUUCUGUUUCUCUGCUACGCUUCUCACUAUCUUCAGUGUUAACAGUGCUUUCUCUCUCUCUCUGUCGAUACUCUUGGAGCAUCUCAGCUCAGGGAUCCCAGGUCCAAAGGACAUGCUUCACUCUUGGCUCUUCUUUCUUUGUAGCAGUGAGAUCCUCUUUCUGCUUUGGAAUUGGUUCUCGUUUAAAUCUAGCAGGAUGGCAAAACCGACCAAUCCCCUUACCGGGCCACAGUUAAUUUUUUUUUUUUUAAUAAUUUUUAUUGUGCUUUAAGUGAAAGUUUACAAAUCAAGUCAGUCUGUCACAUAUAAGCUUAUAUACACCUUAUACCGUACUCCCACUUACUCUCCCCCAGUGAGUCAGCCCGCUCCCUCCUUCCAGUCUCUCCUUUCGUGACCGUUUUGCCCUCUCUACCCUCCCAUCUGCCCUCCAGACAGGAGAUGCCAACACAGUGUCAAGUGUCCACCUGAUACAAGUAGCUCACUCUUCAUCAGCAUCUGUCUCCAACCCAUUGUCCAGCCCCUUCCAUGUCUGAUGAGUUGUCUUUGGAAAUGGUUCCUGUCCUGGGUGGGCCAACAGAAGGUUGGGGACCAUGACUGCCGGGAUUCUUCUAGUCUCAGUCAGACCACGAAGUCUGGUCUUUUUAUGAGAAUUCUGGGUCUGCAUCCCACUGUUCUCCUGCUCCCUCAGGGGUUCUCUGUUGUGCUCCCUGUCAGGGCAGUCAUCGGUUGUGGCCAGGCACCAUCUAGUUCUUCUGGUCUCAGGAUGAUGGGCCACAGUUACCUUAUUUGCACAGUCCCACCCAGUGACUUGGGUGAGAGUUACAAGACCAUGGCUAGAAAAGCCACUCAAAACGAUCCAUUGCACUGCAGGGCUGUUACGAAUAAGCUGGCUGUGAACAUUUGAGUAUGUCUUUUCAUGGCCGCAUGUUUUUAUUUCUCUUGCAUAAAUACUUAGUGGGAUCGCUGAGUCAUGUUGUAAGUAUAUGUCUCACUUUUAAAGAAACUAUCAAAUUGCUUUCCAAAGGCUGUAGCAUUUUGCAUUCCCACUAGCAGUGUGUGAGACUUCUGGUUGCUCCAUUCUCACCAAAUCUGGGUAUUGUUAGUCUUCUUAAUAUCAGACAUUUUAAUAUACAAGUCACUGUACCGCAAGUGUGUUAACCUUUUGUACCACCCAGAGACUCCAUUUUUGGUUCACUAACUGUAAAUCUUUGUUUUACAUUUUUAAUGGUUGAUAUAAAGAGUUUGUAGUAUACAUCUUUAAUUUAUCGCCAUCUGUGUCAAAAUAAUGUUUUCCUAAGUUCUUUAUAACUUAAGGAGCUUUAAUUUCCCCUCUUCCAUUAACUUUCACAACAUAAGCUGCUGGUAACUGAGUUCCUUAAAACAACACUAUUAAUUUGUAAACCAACUCUAUGGGACAGUAAUUCAAAUAGGGCGCAUUGGGGAUUGUCUGUCUCUGUCGCAUGAUGUCUGUAGCCUCUGCUGGGUCAGCUCAAAACUAGGGACUGGAAUUAUCUGAAGGUUUGCUCACUCACAUGUGAAGUAGUUGAUACUGGCUCUCAACUGAGACUUUAGCUUUGUCUGUGAGCUGGAACCCAUAUACAUGGCAUUUCUGUGUGGCCUAAUUUUUCUUACAACUUGGUGGUUGGGUUCUAAAGGAAAGUAUCCUGACAGAAAGCGAGCCAAGUAGAAGCUGUAUUGCCUUUUAUGACCUAGCCUUGACCUAGAGUCAUGCAGUGUCACUUCUGCCAUAUUCUCUUGGUGGAGGCAGUUGAAAGAGCUCCCAGGUUCAAGUAGGGAACAUAGGCCCCCCCCCACCCCCGCAUCUUGGUGGAGGAAUAUCAGUGUCACAUUGGAAGCAGAGCAUGUGAGUUGGGAUGAGAGGCAAUCUUUGAAAACUACAAUCUACCUACUCUCUCCUGUUUUUGUGGUAUGUUGUCAGAUGUUUUAAUUCUUUGUGUGUUAUAAACUAUAACACCUUAUUAUACUUAUAUACUUAUAAUACUUUGCUUUAAACAUGCCUUUUAUAUUUAUCCACAUAUUUACCAUUCCUGUCAUUCUUAAUUACUUUGUGUAUAUCCAGAUUUCCACCUGGUAUCAAUGUUCUUCUGCCAGAAGAACUUUCUUUAAAAGCAUUUCUUGUAGUAGAAUUCUGCUGAUGAUGAAUUAUCUCAGCUCCUUUAUUGGUCUAGUAUUUUGUUUUCACAUUUGAAAACUAUUUUCACUUGAUAUGGAAUUCUAGGUUGACAGGUUUUUUUUUUUCUUCAGGGUGUUUUUCUCUUCUGUCCCGCAUGAUACCUAAUAGGAGGACUGACUGCUUUUGUUUUUAUGUUUGUUCCUCUGUGCAUAAUUGACUUUUCCCCUCUAGAUGCUUGAAGUUUUUAUCUUUAUCAGUUUUUUUUUUAGCAUUUGAUUUUAAUGUGCCCUGGUUGUGAGUUGAUAAGUCUCAAAUUCCACCUUUUCCGACACCAACUUUGAGGGUGUAACAAAUCCCCACUUUACACUUCUGUGUUCAGUUCUGACAUCAGUUGCUCAUGCAGCACUUCUUCCUCUGUCCCUAAGCACCUGGAGCUAGGUCAGAGCUCACAAAUUAAGAGACACAGCCCUCCAGACUGCUCAGUAGGCCCAGGACUCCAAAUGCCGGCCACAAGUUUGGGAGUCCACACAACACCCUUACUUCUGACCUGCUGGUUACAAAUUCGGGGGUUUCCCACUACUACUUCAGGAUACCAGCUGCAAGUUUGGGGGUCCCCCCCUGGUCUUCCUUACUUCUGACCUGGCUACAGAUUUGAGGGUUCCCUCUACCUCCACAAGAUAUCAACCAUAAGUUUAGGGGUCCUGGCCCCCUUCACUUUCUUUGGACCUGCUGGCUCCCACUACUUCCUCAGGUUUGAUAAUUCGCUGGAAUGACUUAGAACUCAUGAAAAGUGCUGUACUUACGAUUACAGCUUUAUUAUGGGGAAAAAAAAAAAAAAGAUAUAAACAAAGAGAUGCAUAGGCCAAAGUCUGGGAAGGUUCCCAGUGCAGAGCUUCUGUGUCUCAAAAAGGGACAUGCUAUCCUCCCAUGUACAUUGAUGUCUUUCACCAACCAGGAAGCCCAUGGAGCUUCCAUGUGCAGAUCCUUUAUUACGUUCUCAUUGCACAGCACUUGAUUGAGUCAUAUCCCCCCUAACCCCCAGUCUGCUGAUACCAGGCCACAUGAUGGUCUUUCUGGCCAGUAUCAAAGUAGAAAAUCUUACCACUCUGUUAGGAGUAAAGGAAAGGGAGUUUUAUUGAGGAAUAAUACAGCUCGAGCUGGGCAGUGCUAAGGUGAAAAUACAAAGCUCUCCAUGGUUCAAGCAGAGAGAGGGUUCUGUAUACAUAGAGAACAAAAGGAAAGGUUAAUGAUUGAUUGUAGGUAAGAUCAGCUUCAGCUUGAAGUCCUUUAAAAUGCAAAGGUCAUUACUUGGCUAGGAAGGAGUGAGUUACCACCUGGGUGAGUGGUACCUGCUGGUUUGGUAGUCGGUUAUACAUGAUUGUAGUACCCCCUCUUUGGACUGCAGUGAGAAUGUCAAGGGUCAUUCUAUUUUGGAGUACUGCUUUUCUCAUCAUUGCUGUUUCAUUAUUGAUCUCUUGAAGUCCUCGGGCACUGUCACGUAGAGCAGUUUGUACAUACUUGGUUAAGAGCCCUACAAGUUCCAUAACAUCUACAAGUCCUACCUGAGGUGUGAAUACUGUCGCUAAAUGAUCAAACCAGUAAACACUAAUGGAGACCGUUGAGGUCUUAAUAUGGGUACAUUAGUUGGUAAAGGGAAUUCACUUAAAAUAUGUCUUUUGGGUCCAACUCUGGCCCAGAGUAUAUUCUCCAACCCAGUCUGGGGGGAGACAAGGCCAAAGGUUGGUUCUAAUAGCCAUAAUGUGCUGUUAGGGGCUACCCAGUAGAUACCUGAGUGGCAUAAGCAAUCAGUGGCAAAUCAAUUAUUAGCUUGUAGGGUUAUAGCUGAUGUACAUUCAGACAUUGGAAGCCAUCCCAUAGGUCUGGUAACAGCUGGGUUAUUCAUAUAGGUGUGGUUAGAUUGUUCUUAGCAAAGGGGAGCAACUUGACUUAACCUCCCUGUUUGGAGAGUUAACCAGAUGAAUCUGCCCUGCAUUUGUUGAUAAUGGGCCUACAAUAUGAAAAGUACUGUUUGUGGGUUCAGAAGAUUCUUGCGCUAACCCUUUUUGGGUGAUUUUAUUUAGUAAAGUACAAGUUGUGCUAGGGCUAAAAGUUAAAUUAUGGCCUGGCUUUUGUUCACAACCAAAAAGAGGCCAUUUAUCAAUAGAAAAUCCAGUUAAUAGUGAUUUCCUGUAGUAAUGAACUAUUUCGGUGUUGCUCUUGUAUUCAUGCAUCAAGAGGAACCCAGUCAGAUCCCUGUAGUGGAGAGACUUACCAGGGGCUGGGAUGGCACCACAUAUUCAACAGUUAAACCUUUUAAAAUGGUGAGCAUAAGUGUGUGCCAUAUCUAGGAAAACAUCAGUCAAGGCAUGACUGCAGCAAAGGUAAAAAGAUAAAGGGGUACAUUUUCCAGGCCUGGUCUUGAGUCAGCCAUCUGCCUCAGAUAUCUGCUUCUAGUCACAGGAGCAUUUAAAUGUAACCUUCAAUUCUCCAGUGUGUUGGCUAGUCUAUAGAGGAGUCUUUGCCUUUAACUGUGACAGAUGGAUCCAAGUUUUUAUUCCCUCUAAUUUGACUGCAAAUGGAUUGGUGAGGAGGACUAAGUAUGGUCCUUUCUAACGAGGUUCUGACGAGUCUUUUAUUUGAUGUCUCUUCCAAUAUACAUAUUCUCCUAGCGUGAUGUUAGGUGGACUUUGGGAGUCUAGUUUCUGUUUGUCAGAGGCUUGUCUAACCUGUGAAAGAUACUCUUUAGAAUAUUGGGUUAAAGAUUGGCAGUACUUCAGUAACUCAGGUUGAACAAUGUUAGGGUUGGUGCAGGCAACAUAAGUAAAUGAAUAAUUUCUUUUAUAAGGAUCUGUACAAAGCUGGUUCCUCUGAGGUGGAGGUUAAAGAUGUCUCAAAAGUCCAACUUUUCCAAACGCAGUACCACUCCGUCGUCUCUAAUAUCAGCUAUUUCCUCUCCCCUCAGCACUCUCCCUCCCAUCUUUGGGUUCCCUAAUUCACUGCAACAUCUCAUGGAACUCACGAAUUGUCUAAACGAAAUGGCUCAUGCGAUUGUGGAGGCUGACAAGUCCCAAAUUCAUGAGUCAGGCAUAGGCUUCUCCUGACCCAUGUGGCUUCAAGAGCCAACGAACCCAACUGGCCCAAACCAGCAGUUCACACCACAGGCUGCUGGCUGCAAGGCUGCAGAAGCUGGCAAAUUAGGUCACAUGAUAGGCCACUGGCCCAAGGGACUGUGGAGGCCAGCGAAUCCCAGAAUUGGCAGGUCAGACAGCAGGCCUCUGGGGAGGUCAGUUGAUCACAAACUGGAGGCGGGCUUUAGAUGCAGAGAGAGAGAGCCUUGCCAGGACACAUAUGUAUCUUAGAUGCAGGCCACAACCCAGGGAAGGGUGUAACUUUUUGGUAAGAGUGGGGCUUGAGUCACACUGUCCUGCAAGGCUGCAAUCUAGGACAUACCUUAUACCAAUCCUGCCUCAUCAGCAUGCAGAGGCCAGGAUCCACAACACGUAAAAUGGAGGACAGCCACACAGUCCUGGGAGUCAUGGCCCAGUCAAGUUGACACAUAACCCCAACCAUCACAGGUUCCAUAUACCUUAUUUGCAAGUCUCACUCAGUCGUUACGUGUGAGCCACAAAGACCAUGGCUAGAAGGGCCAUAUUAAGUAAUUCUUUGCACUGCAAAAAGGAAGGACCGUGAGUCUCCAGUAAUUAUUUCAUAGGGGGUAAGUUUGUGAGAUCCAAAUGGCCUGAACCUCAGAUUUAAAAAAACUAAGGGAAGGAACUUAGUCCAGAAUGAACUUAAAGUUUCACAAAGCUUUGCUCUGUGGGUCUUUAUUAUUCCAUUAGUUCUUUCUACUAGACCGGGAGACUGAGGAUGUUGGGGACAGCAUAGUCUUUGAUAAAUGGGAAAAACUUGACACGGUUCUUGGAGGAUUUGACCAGUGAAAUGAGUUCCCCGAUCUCUACAAAGAAGUUUUGGUGCUUCCCAGGUGAGUAUGAUAUUUUCAAGAAGUUUCUUUGCAACAAAGGCUGCAGUAGCAUGAUGGCAGGGGAAUACUUCUAUCCCAAUGUGAAAAUCUACAAAUCAUUACUAAUACAUAUUUAUAAGUGAGUGUGGAAGCUGAAUAAAAUAGAGCUACCAUUUAAGCAUAGGCCCAGAAAGUAAAUGGUAUUGUCCAGGUAGGACUUAAAGGUGUUUUCCAGGAUCGUAGCAAGGGCAAAUAGGGCAAUGGGUGGCAGCAUGUUCGGCAGCCUUGAAAAAAUUUUCCCCAAUAAUAUUUUUUUAAGAUCUCAGUCAUUUUCUCUUGUCCCAUGUGGGAAUUUUUGUGUGAGGUUUGCACCAUAGGAACAUGCAGAAAAUUGGGUAAGACAGUUUUCUUAUUAGACCCAGUCCACAAUUUAGUGGCAAGAUAUUGGUAGUAGCCUGCCUUUUUUUUAUGCCUUAAUUUCAUCUCUUUUGGCUAGUUGUUAUUUUAAAAAUUUUUCACGAAGGUUGGAGUUAUCAGUAGACAAAUUUGGGGAGUCCCUUUCUUUAUCUAUUGUAAGUGCAAUAAUGACUUGAGAGGCAGUUUGUUUGGCCGCCAUAUCAGAAAGAUUAUUUCCUCAGUUUUGGGUGCUCUUUUUAAUUGGUAAACUUGUAUUUUUAUCAAGCAAUUUUAGAAGGAAGUAAUAGAGUGUCUAGAACGGCUGCUACUAAAGCUCCAUUUAUUUAUGGCCUUUCUGGAGGAGGUUAAAUCCUCUUUGUUUCCAUAAUAUGCCAAAAUUGUGUAUCAUUCCAAAACAAUAUCCAUUUUCCAUAAAAAUGUUAACAUUCUCCUGAAGCAAUUCUACAAGCUCUAGUGAGGUCAGUUAAUUUGGCUUGUUGGACUGAAGUGACUUCAGGGAGGGCUUCACUUUCAAGGACGUCAGUAGAAGUCAGUACAGUGUAUCCAGCUUGAUAGUGAGGACUAGUAGGCUUAGUAUAAAUAGGUACCAUCCACAAACAAAACUAAAUCAGAAUUAGUUAAAGGGAUCUCCUUUAAGUCUUUCUGAGGGGUUAAAAGUUGCUCAGUCAAGUUUAGACAGUCACGUGUAGGCUCACUGGUUGCAGCGAAAAGAGUAGCUGAAUUUAAGCAGGCCAUAGAGUGUAGUCUAAUGUUAGAAGCAGCCAGUAGGAGAACUUCAUAGGAGCAGAGCCUACGAGGAGAAAGAUGUUGUCUCAAGGCAGAAUUAAGUAAGGUAAACACAGCAUGGGGCACACACCCAAAACACAAACCUGUUGCCAUCAAGUCAAUUCUGACUCAUAGUGACCCUACAGGAUAGAGUAGAACUGCCCCAUAUGGUUUUCAAGGAGCGCCUGGUGGAUUUGUACUGCCAACCUUUUUAUUAGCAGCUGACCUCUUAACCAUUACACCACCAGGGCUCCCUGGGGCACACAGACAUCUAAAAUGUUUCCCAGCACAUCUGCUAUGGCUUCCAUUAGUUUGGCAGUAGUAGCCACAGCCCCAAAGCAGGGAGGGUACCCUCUGGCUACCUGGUCAAGCUGUAGGCUUGUUGUCCUCCAUGUUUUUGAGUUAGUAUGCCGAGUGUGUUUCCAGAUACUUCAUGUGCAAAUAAGGAAAAAUCUAUAUGGUAGUUAGGAAAACCUAGAGCAGGAGUGUUCAUUAAAGCCACUUUCAGUUGAACUACGGCUUCUCGAUCUUCUAGUGCAAUUUGGAAUGAAUCUGGCUCGGGGACUUAUAAAUAUGUGUAUAAAGGAUGAACCAACAAAGAAAAAUUGGGAAAUCUAGGUUCAGCAAUAGCUGCAGAGUCCUAGAAACCCCCAUAGCUGUUUAUUUGUUUUUGGUAUAGUAAGGACAAGAAUAGCUGCUUUCCAUUUAGGAUCAAUAGAGAUGCCUUCUGCAGAACUUAGGUGGCCAAAUAUUUAACAGAAGAUGGAGCCAACUGUAAUUUUCUGUGGAAACCUUAUGUCCAGCAGCAGCCAGAUGUUUUAAUAAAGCUACACUGUCAUCAAGUCAGGCUUGCUGGGAGGUUGAGCAAACUAACAAAUCAUCAGUGUACUGCAGCAGCGUAGAUUUGUAGACUGUAAAGGCUGCAGAGCCACAUGCAGAAUCUGAGAAAGAUAGGUGGGAAGUUCAGUAAAUCCUCUGGGAAUUACAGUCCAGGUAAAUCGUUGAUUUUCUCAGGUGAAAGCAAACAGAUCUUGACUUUAAGAAUGCACGGGAAUACUGAAAAAGACACAGCAGAGAUCCACAGCUGUAAAAUGAGUUGUCUCUGAAGGGACAUUGGAAAGUAAUAAAUGAGGAUUAGGAGCUACUGGGAAUCUAGGAAUAACAAUAUGGUUGAUUGCACGCAAACCCUGAACAAAUUUCCAGCCCCUGUUAUUUGAUUUUUUUAACUGGAAGAACAAAAGUAUUAUGAGGGCUAGUACAAGGGACAAUUAAAUCUUUAGAAAGGAAAUCUUGUAUGAUGGAAGCUAGUCAUUUUGCUUCUCGUUUGAGUGGAUACUGGGGAAUUUUUGGCAGAGGUUUAGAUAAAUCUAUUUGAAUUUUAAUCAGUUCAGCUGACAAAAGUUUGCCUACAUCUGUGGAUGCGGUAGCCCAUAACGUUUCAGGAACUAGGGAAAAGAUGUCAGAAGGGAGAGGAUUAGGCUGGGCUGAAUUUUGGAGAGGCAUGAUGAGUGCUUGCAUAUAGCAAAUGGCUUCUUUGUCCUGAGUAUUGUCUAACUCAGAGCCUGUCUCUGUUGACUUAGGGAUAUCAGGCAGACUCAGUAAUAUUUCCCCCUUUUCAUCAAGUUGUAAAAGGUAAUUCCAUUUGGAUAAAAAAUCUCUUCUCAAUAGAUUGACAAAGGUGUCAGAACUGAGCAAAAAAAGGUGUAAAUCUUCAGUAGCACCAAAGAUAUCUGAACAGGUUGGGAAUGCAUCAGUGUUUGUUCCUGAUUGAUGACUCCCACUGCUUUUGAGGUUUUAGUGCUCCGGGGCAGGGGCUUUUGUAAACAGGUGGAGUUAAUAGCAGACAGGGUUACUCUAGCGUCAAUUAAAAAUUCGCUAGGUUCUCCAUUAACAGAUAAUUUCUCCUUGCAGAUUAAGAGCCACCACAGGAAAAGUCCCUAUUUUGACCCCAGAGCCCUUUCAUUCUGAAUCAGAUUGUGGGAUUUUUUUUUUUAAGGGGGGCUGUGUCAAUCUUUUAAUUUUUUGACAUACAGCAUUCAUUUUUCUAAUGGCCGUAUGGUGACAAAUACUGGCCUUUGUGUCAUUGAAAGGUUUAGCAUUUUUCUUUUGACUGGGAGAUAUUAAUUGUAACUGAAGGGCCAUUAAUUUACUAGCCUCAGAAACCCAUUCAGCUUCAAGAGUCUGGGAAAAUUGGUAAGCUAAGUUGAUUAGCUUGACAAUAGGAGCUGUUUCUCAGUCUAAUCGAUGGCUGCUUUACUAAGGCUGGGAUCGCAGGCGUAAGAACAGAUAUGAAAACAGCGUUGAAAGCUCCAGAAACACCAGGUGGCGGUGAAAGUUAAGUGCAGAGUGUUCGGAAAACUUGUGGAGCAGCCGAGUCUAAUAAUCAUAAACACUUUCAUUUUUGUUUGCAAGAGUUAAUUUUCGUCCCGUCCAUUAGUGGAGGAAAGGCCUUUGGUAUAGCCUCUAGCAGUUUUUCACUGACGAACUGAGAGUCUCCAACAGCGUGUUGGCCAUUUUAUCAGUAUUUAAGGCUAAAGCCCUUGGGGUCUUUCCAUCCGGCCUCUUCUAGCCAUAAGUGGGCUUCCUCUGUGCCAGUAAUCACGUGAAUAAGCUGAUAAGCUGGGAAGCCCAGGCUGGUAGGCUUCAACAAGAAUUUGAAAUGCUUCAUAAAAUUUGUAGGACUCUUCAUGGAGUUGAGGAAAAUCUUUCAUGAUGCUCUGUAAUUAUGAGCAUGUCCACGGGGCAAACAUGAUACAAAUGGAAUCCUCAGCAUCACUGCAAUUUUAUUUCUUACUGUGCUUUAGAUGAAAGUUUACAGCUCAAUUUCUCAUGCAAAAAUUUGUACAUACAUUGUGACCCUAGUUGUUGUCCCUAUAAUGUGACCGCGCAGUCCUCCUUUCAACCCUGGAUUUCCCGCGUCCAUUCAACCAGCUCCUGUCUCUUUCUGCCUACUCAUCUUGCCUCCGGAUCCAAAAAAACCCCAGUGCAUCGAGUCAGGAGCCCCCAUUUAGUCUCAUGUAUCUGCUUCAACUAAGAAGCACACUCUUUGCGAGUAUUAUUUUAUGUUCUAUAGUCCAGUUUAAUCUUUUUCUGAAGUGUGGGCUUUGGGAAUGGUUUUAGUUCUGGGUUAACAGUGUCCGGGGGCCGUGGCUUUGAGGGUUCCUCCAGUCUCAGUCAGACCGUUAAGCCUGGUCUUUUUAUGUGAAUUUGAGUUCUUCUCCACACUUUUCUCAUGCUUCAUCGUGUACUCUCUGUUGGGUUCUCUAUCAGGGCAGUCAUUGGUGGUAGCCAAAUACCAUCUCAUUCUUCUGGUCUCAGGCUAAUGGAGUCUCUGUCGGUUUUCUAACUUACUGUUCAGAGAAGUUAACUUAGAUCAAAAGAGCCCCAGAGCGGCCACUGAUUUUCCAAAUUGUCUUGAGUGAGGUUCUGCCAGGUAGAAAAGAACAUGCAUGAUAGGGGACCAUAAUGCUUGUUCAUGUAGUGAGCAGAGUUCGAGAAGGUGGCUCCAAAUCUCCUUUAGACACAACAUUCCCCCUUUUAUAAUGACAGUUAGAGUGAAACAAACUUUUUCUUGUAAGAACAACAGCAACAACAAAAAUCCACAAUAAAACUGGAAGAGCUAUCAAUGCAAGGGAGCAGAGCUCAGAUUUGGGAGGUUUUUUUUUUUUUUUUUAAACUUUAAAUGCUUCCCAAGAAUUUGUGGAAGCAGAUAGCCCAAAGCGGCUCAGCAGGUACCAUGCCUGGGUCCUGAUUCCCCAGAGAUCAUGAUAGAUAAUGCACCUUGGAAAUUCCAUUUCUGAGGCCGGAAAUGUCAAAGGAGAAAAUCUCAUACUCUGUUAGGAGUAAAAGAAAAGGAGCUCUAUUGAGGGACAAUACAGCUUGAGCUGGGUAAAAGUAAAAACACAAAACCCUCAAUCAUUCAAGCAGAGAGGUCUGUAUACAGAGAGAACAAAGGAAAAGUAGGGGGGUUAAUGAUUGUAGAUGAGAUCAGCUUUAGCUUGAAAUCCUUUAAAAUGUAAAUAUCAGCCACUUGGCUGGGAAGGAGUGAGUUGACACCUAGGUGAGUGGCACCAUCUGGUUUGUUUAUACAUAAUUGUAGUUGGUUAUACAUGAUUAUAGUUAUAUGUGAUUGUAGUCACGAAAACUUUUUUUUUUUUUUUCCUGUGGGAGGAACAAGUUGUUUACAUCUUGACACAUCUAUCUCAAAUGGUUUACAUCCUGACCUUUUGUGUCCUGGGAGUGUAUGUUGGCCCCAUCAUUCUUAGGUCUAACACAAGUAUCUCCAGUUUGAAACUUUUCCAUUUAUAGCAGGCUAGCUGCCACUCAUUAGCACAAGCCCUCAGGUGAGGUCUGGAGGCUUUAGAUAACAGAAGCACCUCAUUUAACUCAGGAAAUUCCAAGGGUUUAGAGUUCUCAGGCAACAAGGGCAAAGACUAAAUUAAUUUGGGAAAGUUAAAUUCUUUAGCCCAGAGUUUGGCUUUCUUUAUGUUUCUUCUGCUUGGUACCUGUUGAAUUUCUUGGAUCUGUGGGUUUAUAGUUUUCAUCAAAUGUGUAAAAUUUUCAACAAUUGUUUUGUCAGUUUUUUCCCCCCUGUUCUUCCUUUACCCUUAUUGAAGCUCAAUUUUUUUUUUCAGUCUUUCUUUUGAUAAUUUUGUGGAAUAAAUUUUAAAAUUAAAAAUAGGUAUUAUACUUUUAUUUCUAUAGGCUUUUCCUAACUUGAACCUAAAAAUUACAGACCCAAAUUAAUCCUGUUUGUGGCUUCCCUGGUCUGUUUUUUUCUCCCAAAGUUGCUAAUUAACUUUUCUUUACUGUUCAGGAAAACAAACAACAACAAAAACACACCCAUUGCCAUCCAGUCGGUUCUGACUUAUAGCGACCCUAUAUAGGGUGUCCAGGGCUGUAAAUCUUUACAGAAGCAGACUGCCACAUCUUUGUCCCUCAGAGUGGCUGGUGGAUUUGAACUGCCAACCUUUGGGUUAGUAGCUGAGUGCUUAACCACUGCAUCACUGGGGCUCUUUGCUGUUCUAAGAGCCAUCAGUUGCAAAACCAUUAUCUCAUGAUUUAAUAAAAAAAAAGACUUGUUGUUGGGUGCCAUCGAGUCGGUUCUGACUCAUAGCGAGCCCAUGUACAACAGAACGAAACACUGCCUGGUCCAGCGCCAUUCACAUAAUCGUUGUUACGCUUGAGAGCGUUGUUGCAGCCACUGUGUUAAUCCAUCUUGUUGAGGGUCGUCUUCUUUUUCACUGACCCUCCACUUUACCAAGUGUGAUAAAGUGGUAAAGUCCAAGGACUGAUGCCUCCUGAUAACAUGUCCCAAGUAGGUGAGAUGUAGCCUCUCCAUCCUUGCUUCUAAAGAGCAUUCUGAUUGUACUUCUUCCAAGACAGAUUUGUUCCUUACUUUGGCAGUCCAUGGUAUAUUCAAUAUUCUCUGCCAGCACCACAAUUCAAAGACGUCAAUUCUUCAGUCUUCCUUAUUCGUCGUCCAACUUUCACAUGUGUGUGAGGCGAUUGAAAACACCAUGGCUUGGGUCAGGCGCACCUUAGUCUUCAAGAUGACGUCUUCGCUUUUCCUACACUUUAAAGAGGUCCUUUGCAGCACAUUUGCCCAAUGCAAUGCAUCUUUUGAUUUCUUGAUUGCUGCUUCCAUGGAUAUUGAUUGUGGAUCCAAGUAAAAUGAAAUCCUUGACACUUUCACUCUUUUCUCUGUUUGUUGUGAUGUUGCAUAUUGGUCCAGUUGUGAGGAUUUUUUGUUUUCUUUAUGUUGAGAUGCAAUCCUUAGUGAGGGCCGUGGUCUUUUAUCUUCAUCAGUAAAUGCUUCAAGUCGUCUUCAUUUUCAGCAAGCUAGGUGGUGUCAUCUGCAUAUUGUAGGUUGUUAGUGAGUCUUCCUCCAGCCCUGAUGCCCCGUUCUUCUUCAUGUAAUCCAGCUUCUUGGAUUAUUUGCUUAGCAUACAGAUUGAAUAAAUAUGGUGAAAGGAUACAACCCAGAUUCACACCUUUCCUGACUUCUAAACCAUGCAGUAUCCUUGUGUUCUGUUCAAACAACUGCCUUUUGGUCCGUGUGCAGGUUCCUCAUGAGUGUAAUUAAAUGUUCUAGAAUUCCCAUUCUUCACAAUAUUAUCCGUAAUUUGUGAUGAUCCACACAGUCGAAUGCCUUUGUAUAAUCAGUGAAACACGGGUGAACAUCUUUCUGGUAUUCUCUGCUUUGACCUAGGAUCCAUCUGACAUCAGCAGUGAUAUCCUUCAUUCCACGUCCUCUUCUGAAACCGGCUUGAAUUUCUGGCAGUUCCCUGUCAGUAUACUGCUGCAGCUGCUUCUAAAUGAUCUUUAGCAAAAUUUUACUUGUGUGUGAUAUUGUUUGAUAAUUUCUGCAUUGGGUUGGAUCAUCUUUCUUGGGAAUCGGCAUAAAUAUGAAUCUCUUCCAGUCAGUUGGCCAGGUAAGCUGUCUUCCAAAUUUCUUGGCAUAGACAGAUGAGCACUUCACGCGCUGUAUCUGUUUGUUGAAACAUCUCAGUUGGUAUUCCGUGGAUCCCUAGAACCUUGUUUUUUUCCAGUGCCUUCAGUGCAGCUUGGACUUCUUCCGUUAGUACCACUGGUUCCUGAUCAUAUGCUAUCUCCUGAAGUGGUUGAACAUCCACCAGUUAUUUUUGGUAUAGUGACUCUGUGUAUUCCUUCCGUCUUCUUUUGAUGCUUCUUAUGUUGUUUAAUAUUAAGUGAUGCACAGACCACCUAGUAAUCUGAUACCAAUUGAUCUCAGUAAAAGGGGAAGGGCAGGGUUCAAUCAAUCAUGUUAAAAUUAACCAAUGUUCCAUCUUACACUCUUCUCCCGCCUCUUUAUAAGCCUCAUUGUAACUAGCCUACUUUAAGACAUUUAUUUUUUUUAGAAACAGAAUGGUCUCACUAUAAGCAUAUAAAAUAACUGCUCAAAAUAACCCUUAUGUUUCAGUUUGAGUUUUGCUCAUUUUUAACAGUUUCUGUUGCUGUCUUAAAGUUCACCAGACUUUUUUUCUGCAUUAUCUCAUCUGCUCUUAUUCUUAUCCAGUGUAUUUUUCAUUUCAAAAGAUAUUAUGCUCUUAAUGUCUGUAAGUUCUGUUUGGAUCUUUACUUUUUUUAACUUCCCAUUCCUCUCCUUUCUGCGUCAUGUUCAUAUGAAGCAUAUUGAUAAUCCAUUUUAGUGUCCUUGUCUUCUAAUUAUUAUCUGUAUCAUUUACAGGUUUGUUUUGAUUAAUUAGUUUUAUCUUCUGAAUAUGGGUCAUCUUUGCCUGCUUCUUCCCUUGCCUGAUGACUGUGUUGGAUGACAAGCGUUACGAAUUUCGCAUUACUAGGAACUGGAUUUUGCUGUAUUUCUUUAAAGAGUGUUAGAUUUUAUCCUGUCACACAAUAACUUACUUUUGGAUCCCAGUUUGAUCAUUGUGAAGCUUGUUUUUAAGAUUGGUUCAGAGCAGUCUUUAUCCUUGAUAAUUUAGUCCCACUACACCAGGUGCUCCUUGGAAACUCUAAGGGGCAGUUCUACUCUGUCCUAUAGGGCCACUAUAAGUCAGAAUCGACUCAACGGCAACAGAUUAUUAAGGUGGAACCUUGGUGGUAUGAUGAUUAAGGACUUGGCUGCUAACCCAAAAGCCGGCAAUUUGAGUCCACCAGCUGCUCCUUGGAAACCCUGUGGUGCAGCUCUGCUCUGUCCUAUAGGGUCGCUAUGAGUUGGAACCAACUCGGUGGCACCUAACAACAACAGCUAAGGUGUGAUUUUUCUGGACGCUGUACCCAAAGCCUGAGUCUGACCAGCGGAAUCAAAAACUAUUCCCAGACCUUUGGGAGCCCUGGGAAUUGCUGGGCCUACUGCUUUUUGGUAGCUUAUCCCCUGACCUUGGGGAGGCUAUUUCUUCUUGUGCACUUGCAAAUCCAAGAUUCAAGGGAAUGCCUCUGUAGCUGUUUAAUGCUGUCUAUGCAUUCUCCUUCCUCUGUACUACUCUCUCCUUCAAAUUCUAGCUGUCCGGGCUUCCUCCAACUCUGUUGUCUCCUCAACUCAGUGAGACCCCAGGGUUCUGUUUCAGUGUCCUUCCCUGCAGUGAAGCCUGGAAACUGUUUGCAGGCAGUAAGUUUGUUUAAUCAUAGAACUUUAUUUCCUUUCUUUAAGGAUCACGGAGUUGUGCUGCCUUUUGUCCAGUGUCUGAAAACUGUUAUUUCAUGUAUUUUGUCUGGUUUUCUAGUUGUUUACAGCAGGUAGGCAAUUCCUGUAGCAGUUACAACUUCAUGUUCAGAAGUGGAAAUCUUUCUCUUUAAAUUUUGUUGAGACUUUUCAACAAUCUUAUCAGUUUGAUUUGCCAGUGGGUUUUGUGUCAGUUCUACUUUUUAAAUUUCCACCUUUAUUUUUGCCUUUUUCUUUAUUGUUUUUAUUCUGAAUCUUAAGAUAUAUUCUAUUUCUUUUUGCUGCCAGCAUAAUAAUUUAAACUGAUACAUUUCUUUUAUAACACUACAUCCUGAAAAUUGAUAUGCACAGUUUUUGAAAUGCUAGAACAUUUGCCAUUCUAUAGCCAUUUUUUUUUUUUUUUAAGAAUUCUUCAAGAAUUCAAAUAAACUGGUUAAACAAUUUUACUUGUAGUUCUCUGAAAACAGUGUGAAAGCUUCAGUGACUUUGUCACUAUUUGACAGAUUUUCACCUGGGACAGCAUGCUGUGGUGAUGAGUGGUUUGCUGCCAGCAUAACCCAAUUUUCAGAUAUUCCUAUGUUUGGAUUUUCAGCUGCAUAUUUGAAAUCAUGGCACUCAAAAAUGAUUUUUUUCCAGAAUAUAUAUAUCCGUAUUCUGGUUUGUACAUGAACCACAUUCAGGUACAUAUAUUGUGAUGUACGUAGAUAUACUGUUAGUUUCUUUUUUCAUAACUGCUUUUACAUUGAUCCGUUAUGGUGAAUUUCAGUUACAAAGCAGUACUGCCUAGUAACAAAAUACUAAUUUAAAAAGUAAAUAGUAGUAUACAACGAUUUUAAAUAUCCUAACCUAUUCGUGUAUAUCCACUUAGCUCAGUAGUUCUCAGCUAGGACAGCACCAUCAUCUGGAGGUCAUUUUAGAAAUUCAUGGGAGCAUUUUUGGUUGUCACCAUAGUUGGAGAGUGUUACAGGUGUUUAGUGGACAGGGGCGAGCUUUGGUAGAUCUCUUACGGCGUGCCAGACAGUGCUGUACACUGAAUAACUUCUGUCUCCUAGGAUGUUUGAAGCUCUUGUAAUUACCUGAGUCUAAAAUAUUUUACGUAUAAACACAAAGCAUUUUUCUCAUGGUUUAAUGAAUGGAACUGCUUUGUAAAUCAAGGGGUGAUUAAUAUCCUUUCAUUUAGAACUAUACCAAGAGCUGUUUACCAUUUUGGAAAAAAUGCAUUAUCUACAGCAGUACCUCUCAUGGUAUUUUAGUCACCAUUUGAUAUACCUGGUUGAGUCUGUGUUUAUAGCUGUCAUAUGCUGAUGGUUCUUCAUCUUGGUACAGGCAUUUCACUAUAUCAUGUUACCUUUUAACAUAUUGGUGCCUGAGCGUUCAUAUUAAACAGUAUUUUAUAAUAAAUUAAUUUCCUUUUAUCCCUAAUACUGUAGUUAGGGCAUUGUGAUGACUUCUUUGUGAAAUUAUGUGAAUUAGGUAAAUUAUUAUCAAUUAAUAUAAUUUCAAAGGUAAUAAAGGGACUGUUGCAAAAGGAAUUUAUUAUAGAUAGGAGGUAUUGGGUCCACUUGGUUUGAGAGCCGCUGACUUGGUUGAAUUCUAGCGGAGAGAACUGAGUCCCACAGUCCCUGUGGCACAUGCACAGCCUUCACAGUUACUGCAGUGUUUCUGUGGGGAAGCGUCAUUAAUCUCACAUUUCCAAAGUAUACAGAAAUAUUAUCUUAUCCGUUUUUCUUGAAAAUUACCACGAUUUAUCUUUCAGCCUCUUGGUGGAUGAUUGGGUAGUACCAGUGGUCCCUGGACUACACUUUGCUGUAAAUCCUGUCUUGUUUUUAUAUAUUGACCUUGUUUUUCUCCAUUACUGUUUUUGCUCCGUGCUUUACUUUGUCAGAUAUUAUAAUUUUUACUCCAACACUCUUCUUUAUUUUGGUUCCGUUUCAGUCUGCCUUUACUUUUAGCCUGUCAUUUACAAUCAGUGUGCUGUUGAAUUUGAGUUUUAAUUCAUUCUGAAAUCAAUUUUAUAAGGAAAUCUGAUCAUUUGUUUUUAUUACUAUAAUUUUUAUUUGAAUUACCUAAUAACCAUACUUGUUCAAAUCUAGGAAGAACUUUUUUCAGCACUUUUAAGUGUUUUUGAUGUGCUUUUGCAAUCCAUGAUUACAAGAAAUUCCUCAAGUGCUGGGGGAUUACUUUGUAUUGCCGAUGGCAUUGCCUACGUAUGUAUAAACUUAGCCAUAUGUAGUAGCGUCUUUUCACUUGUGUCACCUCAGUAAAGUUACUUGAAUUGACGACAUCACACAUGGCUGAAUUUUAACUUAAAUUUAGGUAGUUAAUUUGUCUUACAUUUCUUCAAAAAGAGAAUGCUGCAGAAAUUAUUGUGUAUCUAGGAGAUAGCAUGUACCAAGACAGAUAAUACAAUUAAAAGCAAGAGAAAUUGCUAAAUCUGUAGAAGAUAUUAUAGAUUUUGAGAGAUAAGGGAGUUGGGUGUGACUUAUUCAUGACAUGAAUCACUCAAACACUAACACUUAAAAAAUUCCUUCUGGUUUUUAAGAGGAACUGCCUUAGGCUGGACUCUCUAGAGGAGCAAAACCAGUGAAACAUAUGCAUAUAAAUAUAUAUACCAAAAACCAAAGCAAACCCAUUGCUGUCAAGUUGAUUCUGACUCAUAGUGACCCUACUGAACAGAAUAGAAUUGCUCAAUAGGGUUUACGAGGAGGGGCUGGUAGAUUUAAACUGCCAACCUUUUGGUUAGCAGCCAAGCUGUUAACCACUGUGCCAGCAGGGCUCCAUAAAUGUGUAUAGAGAGUUAAUUCAAGUAAAUGACUCUUGAAGUUGUGGAGGAUGGCAGGCCCCAAAUCCGUGAUUCAGGUGUCAGGCUGGAGGUUUUGUUGCAGGGGCUAAUGAAUGCAGAAUCAGAGGGCUGGUGGCAGGCUGUUGACUCAUGUCCCAAGAACUGGAGGUCAGAUGAUGAUGAGUCAGAUGCGGGAUCCAGAGUGAGAGAAAGCCUUGCUGGAAUAUACAUUUAUACACUGGAGUCAGUUUCUCCCAAGGAAACUGCACCUUCACUUGAUUGGCUGCUCAUAGCACAUCUUACCAUGGAGGUGAUUACAUUUUAUCAGAUCUCAUCAUGAGGCGAUUACAUUAUAUUGUAUUAUGGGAGAGCAGUCAGUCCAGUGUCUGCCAAACCACUGAGAAUCAUAGCCUAGCCUAAUGGACACGUAACAUUAACCAUCACAGGACCUGUAUAGCUUCUGAUGAUACCUAGUUUAGGAAAAACAAAACUGAGUUUAACUAAAUACAAAAUGCAGAAGAAUUCAGGUUGUUUUCUCUUUGCCUCAGAAUUAUGCUGUCAGUCUCAAAGAUGUUAAAGUCUCAAUAUUAUGGGUUUCAAGAAGUGACAUGCUACUCUGAUAUUAUGCGUAACCGCGGAUGGUACAAAGUUCAGAAGAAUCGUUAGACUCUGAAUGUGAAGAAAGUUUUGAUUCAAACUUUGAUUGUCAUUCUGAAGAGGAAUGUGGUAUAUAAUUGUUUUGAGAAAUGUAUGCUAUUAUUUUACGAUAGGUGGCAUCCUAAGAUGAAAGAAAUGAGUUCUUUCUCCCUUUUAAAUUCUCUCCUCUUUUGAAACAUGCCAUUUUCAAGGCAGAUUAUACCCUUUCCUUACCAUUUCAUCGUGUUUAGACAAUGACUGUACAUGUCAACCUUUUAAUAGUUACCCUUGUAGUGAACUUCACGCAACUCACGGAAUAAAAUAAAUGCAUUGAUUGCGUGAUGAUAGAUAGACAUGAUCUAAACCCCUUGCUGCAGAGUUGAUUCCGACUCAUAACAACCCUAUAGGACAGAGUAAAACUGCCUCAUAGGGUUUUGAAGGCUGUAAUCUUUACAGAAGCAGACUGCCACGUCUUCCUCCUGUAGAGCAGCUGGUGGGUUUGAGCUGACAGCCUUUUAGUUAGCAGCCAAGUGCUUUAACCACUGCACCAACAGAACUCCUUCUAGACGUGAUCUAAAUUCCAUAAAUAUGGUAUUCAUUCUAGAGUUAUGUUUUCCAACCUUGUGAGAAGAUAAGAAUUCCCCAAUGUGUUGCUGGGGGAUUGGUGGUUCAGUGAUAGAAUUCUCGCCUUCCACGACGGAGACCUGAGUUUGAUUCCCAGCUGAUGCACCACACGUACAGCCACCAUCCGUCAGCGUGUUGCUGUGAUGCUGAACAGAUGUUAGUGGAGCUUCCAGACCAAGAUGGGCUAGGAAAAAAGGCCUGGUGUUCUACUUCCGAAACUCAGGCAUCAAAAACCCUGUGGAUCGCAGUGGUCUGAUCUACAACCAAUCAUGGGGAUGAUGCAGGACCAGAAAAUGUUUCAUUUCAUUGUAUAUGGGAUUGCCAUGAGUCAGAGGCCUACUCGAUGGCACCUGACAACAACAACAACAACAACAAUGUAUUGUAUAAGGUCUUACAGCUAGUAAGUGAUGGAGCCAGGAUUUGAACCCAGGCAAACUGAAUUUAGAGCCUGUGCUCUUAGCGACAUUAUGCUGACUAUUACAGGUCAAAUGCUGAGCUAAGCUAGUUACACAGUACAUUGUAGAGUAGUGUACAAUUUACUUUGAGUAUGAAGAGACAUGGUAAAACAUGAAAUAGCUUCAAAAAAGAUAGAAUGCUUAAUAGAAUAAUGCCUCAUGAAUGUGUGAAAAAGUAAAGCCAGGACAAUAAACAGUUCUGUUCAAACAGUAAGCAAUCCUGAAGGACCACAGAGUGAUCAGUUGAUGCGUCUCUAAAUCAGCAGUUCUCAAAAUGGGGCCUCUGUACCCUUGGAAGUCCUCAAGACCAUUUCAGGAGAUCCUCGAGGUCAAACCUAUUUUCCUAACAGUAUUAAGAAGCUAUGCCUUUUUCUCUGUGUUGAUACACUGCUAGUACAAAUGCAUUGGUGGAUGUCUUAGUCAUCUAGUGCUGCUAUAACAGAAAUACCACAAGUGGAUGGCUUUAACAAACAAAUCUAUUCUCUCACAGUUUAGGAGGUUAGAAGUCCAAAUUCAAGGCACCAGCUCCAUGGGAAGACUUUCUCUGUUGGUUUUGGGGGAAGGUCCUUGUCAUCAGUCCUCCCGUGGGUCUAGGAGUUUCUCAUUGCAGGGACGCUGAGUCCAAAGGACACACUCUGCUCCUGGCUCUACUUUCUUGGUCGUAGAAGGUCCCUCUCUCUAUUUUUACAUCUUUCUCUUAUCUCCUGUAAGAUAAAAGGCCACACACCCCAGGGAAGCUCCCCUGAUAUUGGAUCAGGGCUGCAACCUGAGUUAGGGUGUUGAAUCCCACCCUAAUCCUCUUUAGUAUAACCUAAUCUCGCCUCAUUAACCACAGGCGGAGAUUAGGAUUUACAACACAGGGUAAUUAGAUCACAAAAUGGAGGAAAACCACACAGUACUGGGAAUCAUGGCCUCACCAAGUUGAUGCGUCUUUUUGGGGAACACAGUUUAGUCCAUGACCGUGGGUUAAACUCCUGGCACCUAAGCGUGACUCAAGACAGUGUCACCGGAAGUAGCCAUUGUAUUCUUCACCGUCACAUUCCACAGUUUUCAGAAAAGUGCCAGUUUCAAUUAAGAAUGUCCUUGAUGUAGUAUCGAAAGUAUUCCUUUUCUUAAAUCUCUAUCCUAGAGCACACAUCUUUUUGCUAUUUUAUGAUGUAAUGGAAAGUACGAAAGUAUGCAUAAGGCAUUUCUGCUGCAUACUGAAGUACCAUGAUUAUUUAGGGAAAGCACUUGCAGGAUGGAGUUGCAUGCUCAACUAGCCACUUUUUUCAUGAAACACCAUUUUCUUUGAAAGAAUGACUGACAGACAGACUGGUUAUUCAUAUUUGAAUAUAUGGCAGACAUUUUGUCAAAAAUGGAAGACCUAACAGUAUUUGUUGCCGGUGAUAAAAUUUGAGCCUGACAACUUCCCAACAUUUCAAGACUCCUCUUAUGAGAUUGGUGGUAAUACUAACCAAUGUGAAUUUUUUAUAUUGAAUAAUGAAAUGUAUCAACAUUUGGAAGAGCUGCCUAAGUAAGGAAACCAAUAUCGGAUAAAUCACCAAUGCGUAAUGGUACAAAAACACGCAUGACUAAAGAUCUAUUCAAAGUGCAAGUAGGCCAGUGAAUCUUAAUGUUGUCGUUGUUGUUAGGUACCGUCAAGUCACUUCUGACUCAUAGCGACUCUGCGUACAACAGAACGAAACACUGCUCGCUUCUGUGCCAUCCUCACAAUUGUGGCCAUCUGGAACGCAUUGUUGCAGCCACUGUGUCAGUCCAUCUCCUUGAGGGUCUUCCUCUUUUUCGCGGACCCUCACUUUGCCAAGAUUGGUGUCAUGCAUUGAAUUAUGUCCCCCUAAAAAUGUGUGCAUUGACUUGGUUAGGCCAUGAUUCCCAGUAUUCUGUGGUUGUCCUCCAUUUCGUGAUUGUAAUUUUGCAUUAAAGAGGAUUAGGGUAGGAUUGUAACACCCUUACCAGGUUACAUCCCUGAUCCAAUGUAAAGGAAGUCUCCCUAGGGUGUGGUCUGCACCACCUUUUAGCUCUCGAGAGAGUAAAGGAAAGGGAAGCAAGCAGGGGGAGGGGGGACCUCAUACCACCAAGAAAGCACUGCCGGGAGCAGAGCGCGUCCUUUGGACCUGAAGGUCCUGCGCUGAGAUGCUCCCAGACCAAAGGAAGACUGAUGGUGAGGACCUUCCUCCAGAGCCAACAGAGAGAAAGCCUUCUCCUGGAGCUGGCACUCUGAAUUUGGACUUGUAGCCUACUAGGUUGUGAGAGAAUAAAUUUCUCUCUGUUAAAGCCAUCCACUUGUGGUAUUUCUGUUAUAGCAGCACAAGAUGCCUAAGACACCAUCCUUUGGCUUUGCCAGUUCCCAGUGCUCUCGCUUACCCAUAACACUUCUACAGCUCUUCUGCUCUCCUUCUGAUAUUUCAAAACUCUUAGGUAUCAGGGAUCCAGAGCAUAUCCUGAAGAUUGCUUUCUUCUCUUCCUUUCCUUCUCGGUCACAUGUCUGUUACCCUUAUUGCUUCUGUAGUAUAGUUAUUGGCCCUCAAUUUAAAAUUGAGGGAUUGUUCUUCAGAGAUGUUCUGAGUAUCUUUUAAGUGUCAUAGUUUGAUUUCAGAUUGUUGGAAGUCUGACUGUUAAUGGGAUUUUGUUUCUUAUAUGUGCGAGGCAUCAGGGCUUGAUGGGAAAGCCUGGAUAACAGGGGUUAGGAAAUCUGGAAUCUGGUCCUAAAUCUGCUUUUCACCAGCUAGGAACCUUUCUUUCCCUGUGGUUUCCUCAUCUGUGGAAAGGGAAGAGUAAUUACCCACCCACCCUUACUACUGACUCACGUCUUACUCAUUCAACAAAUAGGUUUUUUUUUUUUUAAUGUGUUUGGCAGAAAAAAUGGAAAGAUGAAUCAGGCAUGAAUCUUGCCCUCAACAUAGGGUCUAGUCUAGUAGGAAAGUUAAUGUCAUUUUUUCCUUGCAUUUUGAUUAUUUAUGGACAGAUCUUUUUUUUAAAUUGUGGUGAAAUCCACAUAGCGUGAAAUUAGCCAUUUUACAGCGAAUGGUUUAUUGGCAUUCAGUACAUGCAGGGUGUUGUGCACGCACCACCUCCUUCUAGUUGCGAAACAUCCCCGUCACCAAAAUAAAACCCUGUGCCCGUUAAGCAGUUACCCUCCGUUUCUCUCUCCCCCAAGCCCUGGCAACCACUAAGCUGCUUUCUCCGUCUAUGGAUUUACCUGUUCUGGGUAUUUCAUAUCAGUGGAAUCCUACAGUAUGUGACCUUUUGUAUCUGGCUUCUUUCCUGUAGCUUAUUUUUUCCGAGGCUCAUCCACAGUGUGGCAGAAAUCAGUACUUCACUCCUUUUUAUGGCUGAGUAAUAUUCCAUUGUAUGUAUAUAGGCAGUCCCUGGGUUACAGACAUCAGAAGUCACGAACCAAGUCUCUUAAAGCCUAUUAUAUUAAAAAUUAAAGGUACACAGACUGGUCAUAAUAACAAACCGGCACUAUUUUGCGACAUACAUCAAAGCAUUAUUAUUAUUGUAUUGUUGUGUUAAAGAUGUGUUAGUGUAUCUGGAAGUGUUUCUUUCAUUUUUUUUUUUUAUGCAUAGGAAGGUACAGUAUAUACAACAUACUAAGACACAUUUGAUUAAUGUUAGAUACGAACCGUACCUGUUGGGAUUUACAUACAGAUUCGACUUAAAGAGAGAUUUAGGAAUGGAAUUCAUUCGUAAUCCAGGCACUGCCUGUAUACCACAAUGUAUUUAUCCAUUUGUUAGUUCAUGGAUAUACCUUAUUUCAAUUAUUAGAAUAUAACCUUUUUGAAAAUUUGGGCAUCCAUUUUAAGGUCAUUUUUAUUUCAUUUUUUCUGAUAGGGAGGUAAAUGAGGAAAAAAUAAUUUAGAAAAGUUUUCUCUUUGUAGCUACACUUUAAUAAUGAUAUCUUUAAAUGAGUCCUUGGAUGGUAGUGUACAGGUGGUUAGUUUACUAUAAAUCAUAUUUAUUUUUCUUAGCCUGGCCUUAAUCUAUGCUAACAAAAUUAUUUUUAGUUAAGUAUAUAUGGCCUGCUAUUAGGAUAUGUUUGUUCUACGAGUACUUCUUUGGAAUUGCCAUUAAUAUCUGAUCUUUAAAUAUCUAGAUUUAUUUCACUACCAUUCCAAGGAAAACAGUUUAUCCCCUUUUCACUUUAUUUCUCAUGUAAGUAAGUAUAUGUUCAACUGCAAAUCACAAAAAACUCUGACAGGGCUGACUUAAACAGCAAGAAUUUGUUUAAUUCAUGUGAAACGAGGAUUUUAAUCUAUUUUUCUCACUGUUGUAUUCCUAGUAGAUGCCCAGGAAAUAUCUGAAUCAAUGAAAAUAUCUAAAAUGUAUAUACAUGUGAAUAAAUAAAUCAAAAAUUGUAUGUUUUUUUUUAUUAUUUAAGCAGUGGUUGGGCAGCUCGGUUUCUUUCAAGGGCUCAGAUUCUUCCCGUUUGCCCUGCUUUCUUCAGCAUAUCCACCUCAUCUGCCUGCAGGCCUGCUGCCCUCCUAUUCACAAGAUGACUGCUACAUUUCCUUGACAUCACAUCCUCUAGACCACAUCCAGAGGCAGAAAAAAGGGCCUUGUCUUCCUUGUGUGCCUUUUCUUUUCUGUUUAGAUGAAGGAAAACUUUCUCCCUCUAUCUCGUUGGCCAGAAUUGCAUCAUAAACUUAGACAUAACCAAAUCGCGACCAGGGGGCCUGGGAUCUCCAGGAUUGGCUCAGAGCUGUGCCAUCCUUUAAGGUAGCCACUAGCCAUAUGGAGCUAUUUCAGCUUAUUAAAAGGAAAAAUAAGGUUACAGAUUCCGUUCCUCAGUUGCACUCACCACAUCUCAAGUGCUCUAUAGCCACCCGAGUUUAGUGGCUCCCUUACAGGGCAGCACAGAUACAGAACAUUCCCAUCAUUAUAGAAGGUUCUUUUGAACAGUGCUGACUUUGACUGAUCCUGAUUUACCUUCUAGGCUUGCCUUUCCUGAAGUACAUGGUCCUGGGGAGAAGAGCAGAUACUUGAGCAAAAUUGAGGUUCCCUUCUGAAGGGGAAAUUUGAGGGAAUGGCAGUGAAGAGACUGCCAGCAGUGUCUGCUUUAUCUGUUUUGCUAAUUUUCAGAAUUAUACUCAAUCUUAAAACUGGGAUACUCUCAGCAAUAUCCCACCUUCCAGGGACAACUACAUGGUGAACAAGCACAGUAUCUGACAGUGAGACCACCCUGGCGUGGCUCUUCGGCUUCAAGUAUAUCACUGUUCACCGUUCCUAUGCACGAAUGAUGCAUUUCCUUGGUGUGUGAAAGGCAUUAAGUCUGUUUUACUGCCUGAGAAUGGACUGAACACAAUAUUGUUUACUUAAUGGAGUCGCUUGGGUGGCACAUAUGGUUAAGCACUAGCUAGUAACUGAAAGGUUGGCAGUUUGAACCCACCCAGAGUCAUCUUGGAAAAAGACCUGGCGGUCUACUUCAUAAAGGUCACAGCCAUGAAAACCCUAUGGAGCGCCAUUCUACUCUGACACACAUGGGGUCUCCGUGAGUCAGAAUCGAUGCAACAGCAGCUGGUUUAUUGUUUCCUUGAGAACAAUAAUUGUAUUUGAAAAUUAAUCUUUGAAGUCUUGAUGCUAGAUAGCAGGGCCCUAUGAUUUACUUGACAAAAAUUGGUCUAUAUACAUUUGUCAGGUUCUAAUUGGGGAGUUGAAAAAUAACCAGUGAAGUAUAUUAUUUCUGUUCAUUUAUUGUGCUAUCUGGAAGCUCGUAAACUGAAGGAUCCACUUCAUAAGUUGUUGGUACUGUGAAUGUGGAUGUGAGCUGAACUGUUCUAGUACUUGUCAUCACCAGAAUAUUAUUUUUUACUCUUCUGAUGCUUAUCAUGGUAGCAGAAAAAGGAUAUAAUCAGUGAUAGUCCGCUUUACUUCCCCAGUCGUUCUUGAAUUUUCUGGGGUCUUGUGGUCAUUUUGUACAACGAAGGAACAGUGGCUAGAAGGAUACUCAUUUCCCUCUCGUCUUUCCUGCUUACUAGAGGUAGGCUCAGGCAGGUCCUGUGUGCUGGUCUCUGUCUCCUUCUCCUCUUGUGGAAAGUCAUCACCAGACAGGUACGGGCAUGUGCUGAAAAGCCUGACUUGCUUUUAGGUCCAAAUAAAUAAAUAUCUGAUUAUUGAACUCUUUCUCUCAGUUGAGCAGAUCUUGAUUAUACAGAAAACAAAAUGCUCUGCUUUGGAAACAUUUGAUGGUGGCUAUUUUUGAAAAGGAAAAGAAAUAACAGGAAGUUUCGCUUUUCAUUGUUGAUAACCUUUCAAAACUCUGUAAUGACGCAUAGACGUUGGUGCAUCCAGGCUGGCUGAGUUUUAGGUUGACCCUGUUAAUAGCCAUUUCUGUUUGAGUCUUGUAAAAAAUCUUUUUAAGUAUGUAUUAGUACACUUUCUUGCCUUAAUAAAGUAUGCCAAAUGCCAUUUAACAAUUAUUUGACCAAUAAGGCUUUCGUAGUACCUUGGGCUCGUGCCCAUCAGUUACUGUUUUACUGAUUUAUAGAUGUAGAUAGAUGCUGAAAGAGGUAACUGACCAGAGCACAUAGCCCCUGAUGUAAAAAAUAAAAACCAACCAAAUUAAAGCUGUUACCUGGUUGCUUACUUCUUUGCUCCAUAUUAUGUCAGCAGAACUAGAUUUACCUGUAUCUAACUGCUAGAGUAUAAUUUGACAAGCAUCACCAAAAUAUUUCUUCAGCAUUCGAAAAUGAUUUAGGGGGAGAGGUAGGCCAUGUUUACAAAUUUUAACACUCUCCUCCAAAUAUUGAGAAUUAUUCUGGCACUUCAUGGUGAACCCUUUGCUUUUUUGAGCCUUAAUUGCCUCUGCCCGCCUCACAGGAGGCUGUUACAUGUAUCAUCACAUUUAAUCCUCUCAGAGCGGUCGAUAAAGGGUAAAUUAAUCACUGGCACAAACCAUGAGUAGCCAAGUUUUGAAUAGCACAAUUUAUUCUGUUUGAAUUCGGUUUGAAAUAGCAAAUUGCAAAAAAAUUUUUUUUGCUAUUUUGGACACAAAUUUAUCUCCUUACCAGCUUUUAAAAUACACUCAGUAGCUCUUCUGAAUUGCCAAGAAAAUGUGAAUUUUAUCUAGAGCAGUUGUUCUCAGAGUGUGGUCACUAGACAAAUAGUAUCUGCACCACCUGGAAUUUUUUUUAGAAAUGUAGAUUCUUGGUUCUGUCUCUGACCUAGUGAACCAGAAACUCUCGGGUAAAACCAAAAACCAGGCCUGUUGCUGUUGAGUUGGUUUCGACACGUAGUGACCCUAUAGGAAGGACAGAGUAGAAUUGCUCCAUAGGGUUUCCAAGGAGCGCCUGGUGGAUUUGAACUGCCGACCUUUUGGUUAGUAGCUGAACUCUUAACCACUGUGCCACCAGGGUUUCCAGAAGCUCUAGAGUGGGGUCCAGCAACUGUGUUUUAACAGAUCCUGCAGGCGAUUCCGAUGCACUGCUCUUGAAGAUCCUUGACUUUCAUUGCGUAACUGGACAAUUUCUGAAACUCUCCCUCCCACAGGCUUUGAUGGCAUCAUGUCCUUCCUUCCUAACAUUAGGCCUAAAAUGAUAUCAACAGUUGUGAUCAAAGAUUCGGUAGAAGAAUCAUGAUGGGAGGGGGGUAGAAUGUGGAACAGAAUUUUAAAUUUUUAUGGAAUCCAGACGUUCUGGAGCCAUUGAGGCAGUGAGCCCCUAAAACUAUUGGCCUGAGACAGUCUUUCAACCUUAAACCAAAAAUAUCCCCUGAAGUCUUCUUUAAACCAAACAGUAGCUUAAUGUAAUUAGUAAAGAAUGUCCGCCUUGAUCAUUGUGCUGUUUUGAAGAACUAUACGUAUGGGCUCAAAUUGCCAACAGUAACUCGAAAGUUUAAAUAGGAAGUUUAGAGGCCAAUAAGGUUAUGUUAAUGAGGGAGGGACAGUUCUGAAAAAGAGGAUGAGAAUGGCUGCAUAGCUUGAAGAAUGUAGUCAUUGUCACUAAGUUAUACAUGGAGAAAUUGUUGAAUUGAUGUAUUUCUGCUGUGUAUAUUUUCAACAACGAUUUUUUAAAAAGGUAUCAAAAAUCAAGAAAUAUGACAAAUGUGUAAACACUGUAUUAGUUUUUCACUUUGCUACUAUUGUGUACAUUUUUAAGGUCACUGAAAAAUUGUUUUUGGCAUUUGGUCGAGUAUUUCUCAUUGUGACGUUUUAAUAAGUACAGUUCCUUUGGGUAGAUAAAAGUGUCAGUGUAUUUUAUUCAUUUUGCACAGGAAUUCUCUGCUUUUAGAUGUAACAUAGUCCUGGAGACUGAGCAGAAUCCUACUGUCUACAGACACUUUCCUGUAUUCUGCUUGCGUUCUGCCGGAGAAAAGAGCAGAGUGAGCAGAUGAGAUGAUGAUGAAGAAUCUAUCUGUAAUAGAAAAUGUCAUAUUGGCAUGCCAAUAUGUGUGAUAACAAACUGGGAGUUCCCUGUAUUGUUUGUCUUAGGUCAUUAUUUGGAGAUACAGCUAUGUACUUUGCAUACUGAAGAGCACAUUUUUGUCAAGAUUGGUGUGUACAGUCAAUAAUGAAAAGGGUGUAGGCCUACAGUUACAGUUUGCUCGGGCACCAUACGGUGCCCCAGCAAACUCACCUGGGCACCACAGGCUGUUUUUAAUUUUCCACGGAAACAGUGACAUCUGUCAAAUAUCACACAAGCUACUAGCUCAAGGUAGUCCACAAUGCAGUGUUAAAUUCCUACAUACCUUGAUGAUGUCAUAUCUUUAUGAAGCUGGGAUUUUGGCCAUUUUUGUGGGUGGGGGGGAACAAUUACCGUAUGAAAAUCAGCGUGUAACAGGAAAUGAAGGCGACGGUGUCCGGCCUGAUUCCCAGAUUUGAGAAGUUGUGGAGUACUCAAAAGGUGCUAAGUUUUAAGGACAAAAAUAUCGCUUAAGUUUGGACUUAACAGAGCUAUUAGGCAUUUCUUUUGUCCUAGGCUGAGUUCUAAGGAAGCCAUACCUGAGAAAGUUUAAGGCAACUUUUUUUGUAGAUUGCAGUUUGGACUUUAGGUAUGGUAAAAAGCUGUACAGGAAACUGAGAGGAGAAAAAGACAAAGGAAUUGUACGCAGCGUGGUGGAGGAGAAGGCAGUAUGUAGUGAUGCUGCGUGAUCUCUAGGGCCAUAGGCUCUGAUUUUGAGUCCUAGGUCUUUGGCUAGCUGUAUGGCUGUGGCCAAGAAAUUAACUUUAUUGAACUGCAGUUUUUCCUCAUCCAUAAAAUAAGACUUGAUACCACCACAAAAGAAUUGAAUGAGAUACUGUAGAUAAACACUGUGCCUUUUAAAGUUUAAAAACUAUAUACAGAUGUGUGGUAGGCUGAGUAAUUCCCCCCUCACCCCUCAAAUGUCCACAUCCUAAUCCCUGGAACCUGUGAAUGUGGUAAAAAGGAUUUCGCAGAUAUGAUUAAAUUAAGGAUCUUGAGCUGGAGAGAUUAUCCUGGGUUAUCUGGGUGGGCCCAAUGUAGUCACAAGCAUCCUUAGAAGAAGAAGGCAGGAGGAUCAGAGUGAGUAGUAGGAGAUGUGACCAUGGAAGCAAGUGAUGUGAGGAAGGGUCUGUGAGCCAAGGUAGCGGGCCGGCCUCUAGAAGCUGCAAAAGGCAAGGAAAUGGAUUCUCCUCAGAGCCUCCAGAAGGAACCAGCCCUGGAUGUUAGCUCCAUAAGAUUCAUUUUAGACUUCUGACUCUGGAACUGUAAGAGAAUGAAUACGUGUUACUUGAAGCCCAGAGUUUGUGGUAAUUCGUUACAGCAACAAUAGAAAACUUAAUGCAGGGUUGGAAAAGGGAAAGUUCUCUAAGAAAUCACUAGCUUGUUGUCAAAAGACCCAAUAUUCUUUUUCAUAGUGUGAGACUUUUAAGAGUUGCCUACAAUGUGGCAUAAUCUUCUAUGGUGUGGACAUGUUGAGAUUUCCUUUGCUCUUAACCUUCUGAUGACUCUAGAGACUUUGAGAAAGUAAUUAGAUUUGAAAGGGGCAGUGGGGAAGGAUUAUAAGCCUCUGGAGAGGUCUAAGUAAGAGUGUCUCAGAAGGGCUUAAUUUUACAGAAGGGGUUCCUGGAACUGAGUUCCCCCAGCAGCCCUAGGAGCUAUCCUUCUCCAGUCAUUCAUCAGAUUUCUAAACCUAGCUUGGUCCAGCAGGUUGCUUUAGAAGAUUCUCGAAAGCUAGUUUGUUUUAAGUUUGCACACCAGAGGGGCUUUCCAUGGCCAGGUGAUUCAGCCGAGGGAAGCAUCUGACCAGUGUCUGCCUGUAUAGAUCUGUUACACUCUGUUAGGAGUGGUUGUUUUUACUGAGUUCUUGUCAAAAUCCUUUUAAUCCUACAUUUUCAAAUGAAAAAUGUUUUACUGUGGAAUUAUGGAUUCAUAAACCAACAGCAAUCGUAAGUGGUAAGACUUGACAUGAAAACUUUGUGGGGGAGGGUAUACAUGAGAAGAUGUUAGUACUUAUAACUCAAAGGUGUUUUCUGGAAUCUCAGUUAAGUAGAAGUUUCCUAGUGCCAGAAGGUAAAGAUUCAGUGUGUUAUUCACUAGUGAAGCUAGUUCAUAGCUAACUAGAAUACCCACUACAAGUUAGGUAUUUUCUUGGACGUAUUCUUAUGCCACUUGCAAAAAUCACUUCAUACAGAAUAUAUGGAUCUCAAUUUUCUAGAGUGAUUUGAAUUUUCUAAGUAAAAUUCGCUAUUUUUACCUGUAUGUAUUCUGUAUAUUGGUAAUUUAACUGCCUCAAAUCUUUUAAGCAGUUGCUCGUAUAAACCGGUUGCUGUUGAGUCCGUUCUGACUCAUGGCGACCCCCGUGUGUAUCAGAAUAGAACUGUGCUCCUUAGGGUUUUCAGUGGCUGAUUGUUUUGGAAGUAGGUUGCGAAGCCUGUCUUCCGAGAUGCCUUUGGAUAGACUUCAACCGCCAAACUUUUGGUUAGCAGCUGAACAUGAUAACUGUUUGCACCACUCAGGUACUCCACUAGUAUAAACAGGUCACCCUAUUUUACCUGUCUCUGUGGUGGUGCAGUGGUUAAGUGCUCGGCUCCUAACUGAAAGGUCGGCAGUUCAAACACACUAGCCAUUCCUCCGGAGAAAGAUGUGGCAUUCUGCUCCUGUAAAGAUGACAGCCUUGGAAACCCUAUGGGGGAGUUCUGCUCUGUCCUGUGGGGUCGCUAUGAGUUGGAAUCAACUCAACAGCGAUGGGUUUGGUUUUGGUCUAUGGUGGCUUCUUAGUCCAUUAGUAGCUAUUUAACAAGAGUUCAGGAAACUGUCCUACCAGUUGAUACCAUUUAAAUGAAAUUAUUUUUUACCCUCAGAAGGCUGAUCUUUCGAUAUAUACAGUAAAGCUUUUUGGAGUUGAUGAUCCCAUUCCUGGUAGCUUUGUUAGAGUUAAAUCAGUGGUAUGUGUGAGUAAGCUUAGCUAGUUUUACUUUUAUUAAUGUAAAAACAUUUACACAGUAAUCAUGUUUAUAUUAGGUUCUGGGCCUUGAAUGAUGGUAAAAAAUAAAUUGAAUAUCAGAGAGAGGAUCUCUAGCUUGCUCAUUGUUUGGUAUCAGUGUCUACAUGUAGAGGAUAAAGAGUAGUCAUAGGAGUAUUUUUCCUAUUUGCUUAUCUUCCUAUUUCUUUAUAUUUUAGAUAUAAUGAGAUGCAUUAAAUGAGCGGCAGCUUAAAGCACCUCCGAGAAACCUUGCCUUUCCCUUUGCCACUUUUUGGGUUGAAGUAUGACUUUUGGAAAUGGAACAAUCAGAAAGUAGUUAACUUUAAUUCUAAAUAUGUAGAUUAAUUAGACAAAUCUGUGUAAAAUAUGCAGAUGGUUAAAGUAGUACAACAACUCUAAAAUAUACUUGUUAAGUUAGCUCGCUCCUGGGCAGGGGCGGGACAAACAAAUAAAUUAGUUAAAAUAAACUCUUACCACUUUGUUAAUGGUACCAUUAUUCUCAGUCAUUCAGACUGGACAAGAAACAGUGGUGCUGGUGUUGCCACCGCCCCGCCCCAUCUUAGUUAUCUAGUGCUGCUAGAACAGAAAUACCAAAAGUGGAUGGCUUUAACAAACAAAUAUAUUUUCCCACAGUUAAGGAGGUUAGAAGUCCAAAUUCAGGGUGCUGGCUCUAGGGGAAGGCUUUCUUUCUCUGUUGACUCUGGAGAAAGGUCCUUGUCUCUUCUGAGCCUCUGCUCCCGCGCAGUCUUCAUAUGGCUUGGCGUCUCUCUCCCCCCACCUCUGCUUCCCAGCUUGCUUGUUUAAUCUCUUUUAUAUCUCAAAAGAGAUUGACUGAAGAUAUACCCUACACUAAUCUUGCCUCAUGAAUAUAACAAAGACAACACAUUCCCAAAUGGAAUUAUAACCACAGGCAUAGAGAUUGGAGUUUAUAACACACACACACACACACACACACACACACACACAUAUAUUAAUUUUUAUUGUGCUUUAAGUGAAAGUUUACAAAUCAAGUCAGUCUCUCACAUAAAAAUUUAUGUAUGCCUUGCUGUAUGCUCCUAGUUGCUCUCCACCUAAUGAGCCAGCACCCCCCUUCUUUCCACUCUCUUAUUUUUGUGUCCAUUUGGUCAGUUUCUGACCCCCCCGCCCUCUCAUCUCCCAUCCAGACAGGAGCUGCGCACAUAGUCUCAUGUGUCUACUUGAUCCAAGAAGCUCAUUCCCCACCAGUAUUAUUUUCUAUCCCAUAGUCCAGUCCAAUCCCUGUCUGAAGAGUUGGCUUUGGGAAUGGUUCCUGUCUUGGGCUAACAGAAGGUCUGGGGACCAUGAUUUCUGGGGUCCUUUUUUUUUCUAGUCUCAGUCAGACCAUUAAGUCUGGUAUUUUUAGAAGAAUUUGAGGUCUGCAUCCCACUGCUGUCCUGCUCCCUCAGAGGUUCUCUGUUGUGUUCCCUGUCAGAGCACUCAUGGGUUGUAGCUGGGCACCAUCUAGUUCUUCUGGUCUCAGGCUGAUGUAGUCUCUGGUUUAUGUGGCCCUUUCUGUCUCUUGGGCUCAUAAUUACCUUGUAUCUUUGGUGUUCUUCGUUCUGCUUUGCUCCAGGUGGGCUGAGACCAAUUAAUGCAUCUUAGAUGGCCAUGUGCUAGCAUUUAAGACCCCAGGUGCCACUCUCCAAAGUACAACACAUAUUUUUGGGGGACACAGUUCAAUCCAUAACAUUCCACCCAUUGGCCCCCCAUUUGCCACAUGCAAAACACAUUUACCCCGUCAUGUCAUCCCAAAAAUCUUAAAUCCGUUCCAAGUGCAAAACCUCAUCUUCUGAAUCAACUAAAUCAAAUAUGGGUGAGACUUCAGGCAUAUUCCUUCCUGGGGGAAAAUUCUUCUUCAUCUGUGAACCUGUAAAAUGUAGAAUACAAGUUAUCUGUUCCCAAAGUACAGUGGUGGAACAGGGACAAAGUAGGUAUUUCCAUACAAAUGGAAGAAUUUAGAGAGAAAGAAGGGAUAACAGGCACCAAGCAAGUCCAAAACCCAACAGAACAAUUUACGUUAGUUCUCAAGGCUUGAAAACAAUCCUAACUGUUCUCUGAGACUUCUCUGGAUAACGGCCCCACCCUCCAAACUCUGGGUGUUGGCCCCACCCUCUCGAUUCUAGGUAGAGGCCCCUGGGCCCUGGGCUUCCCCUCAGCCUUCCAGGCCCACUGGGAUAGCAGCUCUGCUCCCUCAGCUUUGGGUGACCCCAUUCUCCUAGUCUAUCUGAGUGUUGGCCCCACCCCCUCAGCCCCAGCAGGCCCUAUUCUUCUGCCCUUGGGCAUGGCAGCCGCUCCCCCUCAGCUUUGGGCACCAGCCCGAUCCCCCUGGCACACCUUAACAGCAGCCCUACUCUCCAGAAAUGAGUUGGCGAAGACCAACACUUUGAAACCUAGGAGGCUAUGGCCCUGCUCUUUGAGAGGCAAGAGACCAUGGUACCACCCUUUGAAACCAUGAAGGCCCUGCUUCCUGUGCUCCUUCCAACAGUUCUGCUAAUCUCCGAGCUGCUCCAGGGAUGGUCCUUUUCUUUUCUUGGAGGACAACAGAAGUAGCCCUUUUGGUCUCUUUCUUGCCUAUAGAAUUCGAGAUGCAGACAGUGUUUUUUCCUUUUGUUCAUUGUCUUUUGCCCUCAGUCUAAGCAGAUGGUUUUUUUUGCUGUGGUAGUUGGUUAGAUCCAUCAGUCACAGGCCUAAUUUCUUUAACAAAAGUUUGUGUAGUCACAUCCUUGGUGAACGUUCUAGGACACAUGUCCUUAAUUUGUACAACAGUAUAUAGAUCUUUAAGUUCUGUUUUCAUUUUGCAUAGUUCAUUUUUAAAUUUAUUUUUUCCUCUAGCAUUUUGCUACAAGGAGCAAGGAGAAACCACACGGCCCCUUCAAGAUCAUGCUUAGAAAUCUCAUCAGCCAGAUAUCCAAGUUCAUCACUUGCAAGUUCCACCUUCCACCAAACAUUUGAACAUAAUUCAGACAAGUUCUUCAGCACUGCGUAAAAAGCGUCGCACUUCCUCCAUUGUCCAAUCCCAUGCUCAUUGUUUUCUUUUAAAGCCUCACCAGGAGCACAUUGGUAGCAACAUUCUGUCGCUGGCGCCAUAUGUGUUCUCUAAGAUGAUCCUUUCUCUGCAGCUCUCCUCACGUCCUUCUGAGCUCUCACCAGAAUUGCCUUUGAUGUCCAUAAUCCUCCCAACAGUCUCUUCAAGGCAAUCUAGACCUUUAUUCACUAUUAGGCACCUUGAAACUCUACUAGCCUCUACCCAUUACCCAAUUCCCAAACUGCUUCCACACUGUAGGUAUCUGUUAAAGCAGCACCCCGCUUUUCCGGUUCCAAAUUCUGUCUUCAUUAUCUAGUGUUGCUGUAACAGAAAUACCACCCAGAACAACAACAACAACAAAAACCCAUUGCCGUCAAGUUGAUUCUGACUCAUAGCAACCCUAUAGGACAUAGAACUGUCCCAUAGAGUUUUCAAGGAGCACCUGAUGGAUUCGAACUGCUGACCUUUUGGUUAGCAGCCGUAGCUCUUAACCACCAAGGUUUCCAGAAAUACCACAGUGGAUAGCUUUAACAAACAAAUUUAUUUUCUCACAGUUUAGGAGGCCGAAAGUCCAAAUUCAGGGCGCUGGCCCUAGGGGAAGGCUUCCUUUCUCUGUCGACUCUGGAGGGAGGUUCUUGUUUCUUCUGAGCUGCUCCUGGGUAGUCUUCAUGUGGCUUGGCAUCUCUCUUCCAGUUCAGAUGGUUACCUUAAAAAUAAACCCAAUUCAUAUUUCCAGCCUCCCCGGAGAGAUGAAUGAAAUUAAUCUGAUUUUUCCUCUUUCCCUCCCUCCCUCCUCUCUUGUCUCCCUCCUUCCCAUCCUUCCUUCUUUCCGGGUUACUGUGGAAAUCGGUGUUAUAGCUUCCUUUCUUUUCGUUAUUCUGUUUGUUUGAAUCUCCUUUUUCCUUAUGUUUGGUUCUGUGUGUGGUCAAUUUCAGCUUGAGGCAAUCAGUGCAGGUAUUCAGUAACAUAUAAAGCUUCAUUUAUUUGUGUUUAUAAGUUGGAAUCUUAUUCCACUUCUUCCUGAGCCUAAGGGGAAAUCUUAGAAAAAUCCACUGAGAUUUAAGUUAUAAACACACUACUUAAUUACUGCACAGGCUUAACCACAGAGUUUGCUGUCGCAAUGUAAAUACCCAGCUGAGUGCCUGAAAGAAGCCUCCACACUUCCACCAUGUGACUCUCUUGGGCUUUCUAUUCCUGCCCUCUAUCUGGCAAACAAAAAUAUGGAAUCUGUCCCAAGAGCUUCUAUGAAAACUGGUUUAAAAACUUUAUAAAUGGCUCAGUGAAAGGCUUAAAACUUUGCUGCAUCUGUUCCAUUUUGCCAGCUUUCUCCAAACUACUUUUAAAAAUCAAAAUGGUUACUUUUCUUGAGAACCUUACUAUUGUAUUUUUAAUAAAUUUAACUUGUUACAGGUUUUUAAAAAUCCAGUUUUAAGAUUUGUUUCUCUUUCCAUUCUUAAGUAACAUACCCUAAAUAAGCAAAACAGCCUCCCUGACUCACUCUUUUGCUCUCCAUAGACUUUAUAGGAUGAAACGUGUUCAGGCUUUAGAAUUCUAAAACAACUAGUUUAAGAUGAAAUAACAGCUAUGUAAGUGAACCAGAGACUGAAGAAAUUAUUUCAUCAGUUUAAAACAAUAAAAUUUCAUUGGUUUUAAUAUAAUUAAAAAUCUGUUUGAAGAGAUCAGCGUGUAUCUUUGGUAAAAUUAACUGACACACACUAAACAAAUGUGCCAUACUUGCCUGUGUUUGAAAUGAAUUGAUGAAAUCAGAAAAUUAUGUUAUCAUUCCUUUUAGAAUGUUCCUACUUUUCAGUCAUUCAGUCAUUUACAGUAUUUUCUGAGCACCUGCUAUGAGUCAGGCACUGUCCUAGGUGCUGGGAUCCAGCAGUGAAUAAAGGCAUCAAGGCCCCUCCUGUCAUGGACGUUAUCUUCUGGCAGGGGUGAGGAUUAGCAGGGAGCUAUAACAAAUAAGGAAAACAUCAAUAAUGAUUUCUGAGCAAUGAAUUAAAAUAGGAUGAUACAGUGAUUGAGUGACUCUGAAAUUGAGUAGGCCGGAAAUGCCUGAGAAGGUGACAUUUAAGCUGGUGUCUGCAUAACAAGAGCCAGCCAUGCAAACAUCAGAGGAAGCAAAUUCUAAGCAGAAGGAAUAGUCUUAAAGUGGAAAUGAGUUGGGGGUUCAAAAACAGAAAGAAGGCCACUGAGAGUGAAGCACAGUAUUUGUGUUGGGGUGACAGGGAGGGGUUGGGGACCAAAGAAUAAAGGUAAGAUUAAAGUCAGAUAGAUAGACAGGAGUUUGGAUUUUAUCAAUUUAGUGGCAAGUCAUUGGGGGAUUUUAGACAAAGGCCAGACAUACUGCAAUUUAGGUGUAAAGAAUGGUUGUGUUUGUUGGGAAGGCAUCUUAGUGUGGGUUUUCUAGAGGAGCAAAACCAGUGAAAUGUAUAUAGAUGCACAUAGAGAGAGAGAUUUACUUCGAGGAAAUGGCUCAGACAAUUGUGAGGAAAUGGCUCAGACAAUUGUAGGGGCUGACGAGUCCCAAAUCUUUGGGUGGUCAGACAAGAGGCUGAUAACAUCACUCUGACCUCUCCUGGCUCAUGCGGUUGCGGGGACUGAUGAAUCCAAAACCCUCAGGUCUGGGGACAGGCUGGAGGCCUCUGCUGGCUUACGGAGUUGCGGAGGUUGAUGAAUCUAAAACCUGCAGGUCAGGUAACAGGCUGGAGGCCCCUGCUAGUUUACAUCUCAGGAACUAGGCCAGACGCCAAGAAUAUUGUGGGAUCCAAAAAAGAGAGGAAGCUUUGCCAGAACAUUCUUUUACAUCAUGGAUGCAGACCACAUUUCUGAGGAAACUUCUCUUUCAACUGAUUGGCUGCUCAUAUCAGAUCAGAAAAAUGGGAGGUGAUACAUAGUGUCUGCCAAACCACGGUGAAUUAUAGCCUAGCCAACUUGACGCAUAACAGUAACCAUCAGAGGGAGACCAAGUAGGCAGUUGGCAGUAGUUGAGGAUAGAGAUGGUAGUGGCUUGAAUUAGUUUGCUAAUAAUGGACACAGUGUAAAGUGGACAGAUUGGGAUAUGUUUUGGAGGUAUGGCCGAUUUGCUUGUGUUGCAGAUUUUGACUUUCGAAGGAGGGUGGAUGGUACCUUUACUGAUGUAGUAAAAAAAACUGGGGGAAGGACAAGCUUUUGAGGAAAAUUAGGAGUUUUGUCCAUUUCAAUUUUAAGAUACCUAUUACUGAAGUCAAUUGGAGAUGUCAAAUAAGCAAUUGAAUAUAUGACUCUGGAGUUCCAGGGAGAGAGAGACCAGGGCUAGAGGUGUAGAUUUGGGAUUAAGCAGCAGACAGCAAGCAUUUAAAACCAUUAGACUUGAUAAAAUUCUGAGGGAAGUUGUAUGGGUUGAGAAGAGGAGGAGACCUAGUGCCCUGGGGCACUCCACAAGAAAGAGCCAGCAAAGGUGGCUGAGAAGGAACAGACAGUGAUGUGGGGGAAAACCAAUGGAUUGUGGCAUCAGAGAGAAACCAGAAGAGAAACAAGAAGUUCCAAGAAGGCGGGGUGGAAACUGUCAGAUGCUACUGAGAGGUCAAGUUAGAUAAGAACAACGGUGACAUUGGCUUUGAGAGUCGUUCAUAAUUUUAACAAGAGCAUUCUCCGUAGAAUAGAUUUGAAUGGGUCAAGGAGAGAAUAGAAGUGGGUAAGAAGAUGGUGAUUAGAGACAACGCUUAAAUCACAGAGGAUUAUGUCAAGGAUAGAUAUCACAGGUAAUAACGAUAUUUUCUAGAAGAGAAUAGGGAUAGCAGACAUGUACUUUAUUCCCAGUGUGGACGUACAGAAGUGCUGCCCCAGAUAAUGCAUUAGUAGAACUGUGGUUCGUCACCGUGUGAAUGCUGUUGAAUGGAGCAUGGCCACAGAGUUCCUCAUGUAGCCGCACUCCCGGGAUGUGCGAAGUAACUCACUUGACUAGUCUCAGGCUGUGAUUUUAAAUGUUUCAAGCUAGAAAUAGUACACAGUGCACAGUUGAUGUAGUGCCUCUGGGCUUCCAAAUCGCUGAUCGGUAGGCUCUUCUGCAUUUUUUAAAAAGUGUCUUCUGGGUAUUCCUUCCAGUAACUGUGAGUGUUUGCUAGGGCACUCUUCAAUAUUGUUUUUCCAUUUCCACCAUUUUUGAAAAAUAAUUUAUCCAGGAACAAUUUUUCGUAUGCUACCAGUAAAGCUUUUUCCUUGACCUGCAUCUUCUUGGUGUAUAGUCUUACAGUGUUGUGCCAUUAUCUUAGGUUUGGUGACAAGAGUUUCUAGGUUUUGUCCGUUAAAUGUCUUUGAUUUUGUGGUGCAUUAUAAUUUUUCUCAAUUGAGUAGAUGCUCAGGGGACUUUUUUUAGGACCAUUUUCUCUCUCCUUGUUGUGUGUCAUCGAGUCAGUUCCAACUCAUGGCAGUCCUGUGUGACCGAGUAGAACUGCCCCCGUAGGAUUUCCCAGGCUACCGUCUUUAUGGGAGCAGAUCUCCAGGCCUUUUCUCCUGCAGAGCCACUGGAUGGGGUUUGAACCGUCAGCCUUUCGGUUCGCAGUCGAGUGCUUAACCAUCACGCCACCAAGGCUCCUUUCUCUCUCCUUACUUUACCUAAAAAGUAUCCACUUGCUGUGUGUGCUUCUACCCAUUGUUUAAAAAACCGCACUCUUCUUUGCUUCUUGCCUUCACAGGUUUUAUGUGUGCUUUAGUUCCUCUCUGGCUGUUGUAGUCCACAAGAAGAGACACAGGCAGUCUACACUGGUGAUCAAAACUAACUUAGCCUGCAGAAUCCUCAGACUUACUAUUCCGGAUAGUAAAGUAGCACUAGGAUAUCAGAGUUAUUAAAUGCCAGAUUUUGCCUUAAAUAUCCAGUAGUGCUGGCAGUUGUUUAACUGUGCAAGCCAGUGGUUCUGUGACCCAGGCUAUGGAUUUGUGGUAAAAGCAGGAAGGUGUAUUAUGUUGAUGAUUAUUUGACUUUGAAGUAAGAAGUUGUGAUUGGUAGGUAGUCAGAUAUUGAGCCUCCCUGACCAAAGGAAAAUUCAGUUAUCAUUCAUUGUCUGACUUUUCACUUUCCAAACUUAGAAACUGAAUAUAUUUGGAUAACAAGGGCUACUUGUUUUUGUAACAUUGGGCUAAUUGUAUAAGCACAGACUGGGAUUUGCCCAAUUAAUACAUUUUGUUUUGCUUUUCAUCAGAACUAUUAACUUAUACAGUCAAAUAAUUUAACCUUAUUCAUAUGAAUAAAUAACUGAAGGCAGUUUCUUUUCACUCUUUUGGGGGAAAUAUGCAACUUGGGCUUUUAUUCCUCACCCUCUUACAGCAUGAAGGUUUCAGAACACUGUAAGAAUGAAAAACUGAGGUGGUGGUGGUGGGGGCAGCCCAGAUGUUUUGCCUGUAAGUAAUCUAUUCUUUUCACUGAAAAGUGCAGUAACAAAGAACACUAGUGAAUAAUAAACAUCUGCACAGUUCAAAACUUUUAUCUUAUUUUCUUUAAUAACAGCCUUAUUGAGGGAUAAGUCACAUAGCAUAUAAUUUACCCUUUUAAAGUGGUUUUUAGUUGUGCAGCCAUCACCUCUGUCUAAUUUUCAUCACUGCAGUAAGAAACCUGUACCCAUUAGCAGUCACUCCCCAUGGCCCCCUCCCCUCAGCCCCUGGCAACUACUGAUCUACUUUCUGUCUCUGCAUUUGCCUACUCUAGAUAUUUCGUGUAGGUGGGAUCAUACAAUAUUAGUUCCUUUGUGUGUGACUUAUUUCACUGAGCAUAUCAAGUUCAAGGUUCAUCCACGUCAUAGCAGGUUUCAGUAUUUUAUUUCUCUUUAUGGCUGAGUAAUAGUCUUUAUUCUGAAUAAUAUUCUUUACCCAUUCUUCAGUUAGUGGACGUUGAAUUAUUUCUACUUUUCGGCUAUUAUGCACGAUGCUGCUAUUAACACAUUCAUAUAUGAGUUUUUGUGUGGAUAUGUGUUUUCAGUUCUAUUGGGUAUAGACUUGAAAGUGGAAUUGCUGGGCCAAAAAGGCAUUUAGCCACAGAACUAGAGAUUUUAAUAGGCUGUUUGCACCUUUUGUUAUUUAAAGAGAAAGACUCCUACAUUUAAGGUAAGGUGAGGAAAACUGAUCAAGUUUUUUUUUUUUAGUCUGCCCACCUUCCUGGAAUUAAGACUUAUGUAUAAGGUCUCUAUGAGUCAGAAUCGACUCGAAGGCAAUGGGUUUGGUUUUUUUUUUUUUUUGGUACUUUGAUAGGAAACCCUGGUGGCGUAGUGGUUAAGUGCUACGGCUGUAAACCAAGAGGUCGGCAGUUCGAAUUCGCCAGGGGCUCCUGGGAAACUCUGUGGGGGCAGUUCCACUCUGUCCUGUAGUGUCACUAUGAGUCGCAAUUGACAGCAGUGGGUUUGGUUUUGGUUUUGGCACUUUGAUAAUACCACUAGUCAUAAUUUCACAUUUGCUCCCUGGUUACUCAAAAAAAUUUAUCGGUUGAACGUUUGGAUGCAAAUAAAGAACAGAAAAUCCAGUGGCAUAGCAGUAACGAGGCUUUUCUAGUACCGGAACUGAGAACUCCAGGUAGUACUGACUUCAGGCAAGACUUGAUCUUCCACUCUGAAUAGGGCAGAGCUCUCUGAUGGCUUAACAGAAGUCCCCAAGUUGAAUCUUACUGGCCCUGAUUAACCUGCCUUGGUUUGUGUACUCGUCUCUAGUCAGGGUUUGGGGUAAAUUAGGGCUGGGAAUGGGUCAAAAUCAGGGUUCUACUAGGAAGGGAAGAAAGAAUGGAUGCUGAAAAUAGAUCCAACAAGAGUGCACUAAAGAGUCAUACCUGUCAUUCUAGAGAGCUGAUAAGGAAAAGCAAAUAUGUAUUCCCUGCAUUUGAGGCAAUAUCCGGCUACUGAAUUCACAAAGCCCAUCUUUCCCCAGAGGCCAACUCGUUCUCAUUCUCGCCUUUCCUGAGGAUCCUUUAUAUUCUGUGCCUUUUCCUUCUUAAGUAUUUGUUUUGGUUAAAUCUUAUAUCGCUUUGUUAAACAAAAGCAACUCAUUUGUUUUAAGUGUUAGGAGUGGGCAUGUUCAUGUGGUAAUCACAGUGUUUGAGUUUUAGUAUUACAGAGAUGCCUGUCACAGUUAAGAAUGUUUUGUUUUUGCUCAGUUGAUAGUAUCUUACUUUAUAAAAGGGUUAGGUUUUUAGUGAUCAGUGCAACCUGAGUUUUGUCUAAAGAAGCUUCUCUAUGACUCCUCCAGCUAAUUCUGAUAAGUUGUUACCAGUAAUACAAAACCCAUGAAACCAAACCAGAUGCGGUUGAGUCAACUUCGACUCAUGGUCGCCUCAUUUGUUUUGGAGUAGAACUGCGUUCCAUAAGGUUUUCUUUCAAUGGCUGAUUUCUUAGAAGUAGAUCACCAGGCUUUUCUUCCCAGGGCACCACUGGGUGAACUCAAACUGCCAACUUUUCGAUUAGCAGCUGAGCACUUUCACCAUUUGUACCACGCAGGGACUCCAGAGGAGUAAUAAGGGAGGCUUAAACAUUUUCCUCUGGGAAUCAGUGAGAAUUAACUAUGCUGUUUUAACGCAGUUAGGCUCUAAGUGAAUUUCUACAUAUCCUGUGAACUAUCCAGUUCAGUAACUUAGCUUACAUAGCUGUGUUAUUUGGUCUUUUUUUUCUUCCCUGCUACAUAAACAAACAACCCGAAAAUCUCAAGUGGAUUACAACCAGCGUUUGUUUUAACUCUCAUGGGUCUACAGAUUGGUAGAGUUCUGCUCAUCUAGGCUUUGCUCAGGUAGGCCAGCCUGGACUUCAGGCUUUUAGCUGAAUUUAGGGUUAUUUUAUGGUUUUAUCCUGGGACCUAGGCUGAGUGGCAGUGGCUACCUGGGCAUGUUCUUCUCAUGUAAGAUCAUCAGUGUGGCAUCUAAGAAGGAGGAGUGGAAACAUGAAGUGUCUUCAGCUUGAAACUGGUGCGUUUAUAUUUCCUCUCAAUUUAAUUCGCCAAAGUAAGUCACAUGGCCAACCACAGUGUCAGUGGGGUCAGAAAAUACGUUUCUCCACAAUGGUAGGUACUGCAAAGUCAUACCGCAAAGAGCAUGGGUAUGUAAUUUUUAUAAGGAAAGGAGUGAACGAUUGGGAGUGAUGAUCCACUUAACUGUAGGUGUUAUCAUAGAAAUAAAGAUGCAUAAAACUAUGACAAAAGCAGAUGUCUCUUUACAGUGAGUAAAUUAGGAUUAUGGAAUAAUAUAAUUGUGUACAUUUUAAGUCUGAUUAAAACCAUUGAUGUUCAAAUUAAAUUAAUAAAUGAGACUUUUUUUUACUCCUACCCCUGAGAAAGCAAAUAUGGCAGGGUUAUGUUCAACUCCUCUACUUCCAAGUCUAAAGACAUUUGCUAAAUUGCUUAGUAAUUCCUAACGCUAGCCUGUCCUGUAAGUUGUAAAAAGAGCUGAAAUUCUUGCUUGUGGUCGUUCUUAAAUUAUUAACCAACUCUUAUUCCCAUUCUUUCUCUAAAACUUGGCAGACUACUAAUUAGUCAACUUAUAUAUCUGCUCUUAAAAGGAUUUCAUAAUAGCUAGGAUAGAGAAUUAGUGAAAAGGUGAAACAUUUAAAAUUACACUUAAAACAACAACAACAGAAAAAGAGGAGCUGCUGAGGCUGCUGUGUACAACCAAACAUCUCAUGGGAUUUGGUUUCUUGGUUUGAAGGUUUAGGGUCAUGGGUUCAUGAGACAGCCCAGAUAAUUGACCUGAUGACAUGUUUUAGUGCUUCUGUUCUACAUCCUAGUUCGUUAGGUAGUGCCUGUGGCCAUCUGAGGCACAACAACUGGUUUCUUUUCACCUGGAGCAACAGAGGAAGAAGAAGAGUUAGGAAUAGGAGGAGGAUAUGGAAUGGGUCAGGAGGGAACAGUUCCUGGAGAAGGUCAUCAUGCUUGGUAGAGGAUUAGUGAAAGAGAGGAAGACUCUCAAUGAAAUGGAUUGACCCAGUAGCUACAAUGAUGAGCUCAAGCAUAGCAACAGUUGCAAGGAUGGCGCAGGACCAGGCAGUGUUUUGUUCUGUUGUACAUAGGGUCACUAUGAGUCGGAACCUACUCAGUGGCACCUAACAGCAAUAUGGAAUGUGUGACUAAUUGCCUCCAUGAACAACUGCCUCCUUUGUCAUGAGACCAGAAGAACUGGAUGGUGCAUGGCUACAGUUACUGAACAUUUUGAUCAAAGAUUCUGUACAAGAAUCCUGAUCAAAAAGGGGAAAAUAUGAAACAAGAUUUCAACUUCUUUUGGACUCCAGACUUUUCUGGAGCCGUGGAGGCUGGAUGAACCCGUGAAACUAUUGCCGAGAUUGUCUUUAAACCUUAAACCAAAAAUAUCUCCUGAAAUCUCCUUAAAAUCAAACAGUAGUUUAGCUUAACUAGUAAAGAAUAUCUGCCUUGAACAUUAUGCUCUUUUAAGAUCCGUCUAUAUUGGGCUCAAGAAAUCAACAGACACGUUGCAUUGGGCAAAUCUGCUGAAAAGGACAUCUUUAAAGUGUUGAAAAGUAAAAACAUCACCUGGAAGACUGACCCAAGCCAUUGUAUUUUCAGUUGCAUCAUAUGCAUGCAAAAGCUGGUCAGUGAAUAAGGAAGAUGGAAGAAGAAUUGACGCCUUUGAAUUGUGGUGUUGGCGAAGAAUAUUGAAUAUACCAUGGACUGCGAGAAGAACAAACAAAUCUGUCUUGGAAAAGGUACAACCAGAAUGCUCUUUAGAAGCAAGGAUGGUGAGACUGUGUCUUACGUACUUUGGACAUGUUAUCAGGAGGAAUCAGUCCCUGGAGAAGGACAUCAUGCUUGGUAAAGUACAGGGUCAGCAGAAAAGAGGAAGACCCUCAACAAGGUGGAUUGACACCGUGGCUGCGACAGUGGGCUAAAGCAUAAUAACGAUUGUGAGCAUGGUGCAAGACCGGGCAGUGUUCCAUUCUGUGGUACACAGGGUCUCUGUGAGUCAGAACUGACUCAACAGCACCUAACAACAACAAUAUAUUGGCGUCAAAUUGCCAACAGCAACUGGAAAGAUUAGAUAGGAACUUCAUUGGGCAAUGAGUUUAUGAUAACAGGUGAGGACAGCUCAGAAAAAGAAUGUGAGAAUGGUUGCACAACUUGAAGAAUGUAAUCAGUGUCAUUGACGUAUACAUAUAGAAAGCUGAGUUGGUAUGUUUUUGCUGUGUAUAUUUUCAACAACAAAAUAAAAUUAUUUUUAAAAAUUACGCUUAAAAUCUAAGUAACCGGAGGCACACUUCAGAACGUUGUAUGCAAUGCCUGUAUAAAUAAUUGUUUGUUUUUAUCUUUUUAGAGAAUUUCCCAGGAUGGUGUACAAUGAUAACGUAGAAUUUGAGGCAUCUAGGUUUUAAGGGUGAAUACAGUGUUUUCUGUACUAAUUUAAGUAUGGACCUGUUUUCCCCAAGAAGAGUAUUUUGAAAAACUAAGGUUCUGUAGGCUAUAUUUUGUGUAACAAGGUUGUAGGCGAUAUGUAUGUGUUAGGAUACAUAGGUUCAGCUAUGUGUAGUAAGAAAAACUCAACAGUAGCUUAAACAAAGUAACUGAUUUCUCCUUCAUAUAGGAGGUGGCUAGAAGUAGACAUGUUGGUAUAGUGGCUUCACUGUCAUUAGGGAUCCAGGCCCUUUCUAACCUGUUAAUCCACUAUCUUGAGUGUGUUUCUCAUGGUUCAAGGUGGCUGCUUGAGCUCCAUUCAUCAUUUCUGUAUUCCAGGCAGUAAGAAGAGAAGACUUGCUUCCUCCAUUUUAAGACUUCCUUUUAACUAGCCAGUUGAAGAGCCCUGGUGGCACACUGACUAAGAGCUCGGCUGCUAACCAAAAGGCCUGCAGUUCACAUCCACCAGCCGCUCCUUGGAAACCCUUCGAGGGGGUUCUCUGUACUCUAGGGUUGCUGUGGGUCAGAAUUGACUCGACAGGCAACGGGUUUGGUUUUUGUUUUAGCCAGUUGAAGGGAUAAUUAUUGUAUGUAAUUGAGAACUAUUUGGUCAGAUGCAAAUAAACUAGGCGAAAAUAAUGUACCGUACUAAUAAAAUAGCAUUUGUUAAUACCAGUUAUGCGCACAGUUAGUUUUUUCAGAUAAAGCUAAGCUAACAAGUUACAUUGAAGUAUUACUACUCUGUAGCAGUUAUCUGUUGCUGUGUAACAGACUACCUCAAAACUUAAUAGCUUAAAGUAACCAUUUUUUGAUUGAAAUAUUUAUUGAGAUAAUUACAGAUUCACAUGCAGUUUAAAAAAAAAUAAUACAGAGAGAUCCUUUACACACUUUGCCCAGUUCUCCCAGUGGUAACAUUUUACAAAACCACAGUAUCAUAUCACAGCCAGGAUAUUGACAUAGAUACAAUCUACUGAUCUUACUCAAAUUUCCCCGGUUUUACUUACACCCAUUUGUAUGUGUGUAUUACGUUCUGUACAAUUUUCUCACCUGUGUAGGUUCUUAUCUCUACCACCACAUUCAAGAUAAUGAGCAGGUCCAGCACCAAAAGAUACCUCUCUUGUUGCCCUUUUGUGACUAUGCCACCUGCCUCCCCGUGCUGAUCUCCAACCCUCACACCCACCCCUAGCCUCUGGCAACCACUGAUUUGUCUGCCAUUUCUCAAAUUCUGUCCUUCAGAAGUGUUGUAUUUGCUCAUUCUGCGGAUCUGCAGUGAGGGCAGGGCUCCGUUAGAAUUGUUGUCUUUGUUCCACAUGAUGUCUCCUGGACUCCGCUGGAACUGGAGGAUCCAAGACGGUCCCUUUCACAUGUCUGGAAUCUUGGUGCUGGCUUUUGGUUGGAGUGUCUUAGUGCUGCUCCUCAUGGCCCGUUUCUCAUGUAGUGUCUUCUCAUGUAGGGCCCCUCCAUGUGGCCUCAUAUUCUAGUAGGGGAGCCUGGACUUCCUUACCUGGCAACUGAGGGCUCCAGGAAAGCAAAAAUGUAAGCUUCCAGGCCUUGUUCCGACCUAGGCCCAGAACUGGCAUAGCCCCACUUUUGUAGCAAUCUGUUGGUUGGAGCAGAUCACAAAGAUAGUCCAGAUUCAAGGGGAGGGGAUGUAGCCUCUACCUCUUGAUGGGAGGAGCAGCAGGUAUGUGCAAGGAUGGGAGGAACUGUUGGUGGCCACCUUUGCAGACAGUCUGCUGCACACUUCAAACAAGGUGGUUGGAUUAUGGGAAUGAUGCAGCCUGUGUCUCCUUUGAUCUUUUGUAAAUGUUACCAUCACUUCAUUUUGAAAUCUGAAUUAGUUUAAAUCCCAUAAAAGUAUAAAAUAGAAUGUGAUAGUUUGCUACUGCUAAUGCCUGUUUCAGAUAGAACAGUUGCCUUGCAAGGCAAGUUGCCAGAGCUCAAGUUAUCAACCAAAUCUGAGGAUUCCCAAGGGGACUGUGGUAUUUGCAGAACAAGUAGUUGCUUGAAGUGGCUGUUAAGAUGUUAGGAAUAGUUCACCUCUCUUAUUUUCCCAGGCUGGCUGUUUCUUGUGAUCUUAAAAUAGCAGGGACUUGUAUACCUAGGGAGCCCUGGUGAUGCAGUGUUUGAGAGCUCAGCUGCCAACCAAGAGGUCAGCGGUUCUAAUCCACCAGCUGCUCCUUGGAAACCCUGUGGGGCAGUUCUGCUCUGUUGUGUAGGGUCACUAUGAGUCGGAAUAGUCUCAGUGGCAACAGAGCUUUUUUUUUUUUUUUUUUGGUUUUUGUAUACAUAGUUCCAGAUUUCUAUAAUACUAACUUUGAGAGACCAUACCAGUUUUCCUCUUUGCAUUAAGUUUUUUUAGGUAAGGCAUUAGAAUAUUGUUUUUCAAGAUAUUUUCAACUUCAGAGAAAAGGUCUUUUAAGGGGGAGUACGGUUGAGGAGAGGCGUUAUAGCUGAAGAUUGAAGCCAGGAGAGCAUUUUCUCAAGAUUUUUCUGACUAUGAAAUGUUAGAGACUUCCUUAGUUUUGUUGUGAGAGUGGCAGUGAUGCAGGGUCAGAGGUUAGGUCUUGAACUUCAUGGGUAGGAUUCCUGAUCAUCUGUUACACUGUAAGGGAUACAUUUUCAUAGAAUUUCUGGAAUGAGAGAUAAGAGUUAUUGCUCAGUGGGAGCCCUGGUGGCACAGUGGGUAAAGCGCUCAGCUGCUAACUGAAAGGUCAACAGUUUGAACUCACCAGCCGCUCCUUGGGAGAAAGAUGUGGCAGUCUGCUCCCGUAAAGAUUUUUCAGCCUUGGAAACCCUAUGGGGCAAUUCUGCCCUGUCCUAUACGGUCACUGUGAGUUGGAAUCAACUUAAUGGCACUGAGUUUGGUUUUUUGGUUUACUGCUCAGUGAGGGCUCCAUGUUUGAGAGAAAUAAAUUUUUUCUCUCUGCGUUUUGGAGCAAUACAUUAUUUGGCUAAGAGUUUCCGUUUAGCUUUCCCUUCUGAGUGAUAACUUUGAUUUUACAGACAUUUACUAUUUGGUCUCUAUGUGUGGAACACUUCGUUAGACAUUAUUUAAAGAAAAUUAGGACAGGGUCCCUAUUUUCCAGGAGCUUGUGGUCUAAGAGGACAAAUAAGAUGUACAUAAAAAAAAAAAAAAAAACAUAGCUGAC
This is a long non-coding RNA of Loxodonta africana (African savanna elephant), 83365 nucleotides long. RefSeq lists it as uncharacterized. Lineage: Eukaryota; Metazoa; Chordata; Mammalia; Proboscidea; Elephantidae. The record is from RefSeq and is a predicted model, not a curated record. The transcript is spliced from 2 exons.